CACACACACACACACACACACCUGCGCCUACGGCCUACCUGCCCGAAUUCUCCACCUUCAGUGGAUUCGGGGCAAUGGGGCAAAUUCCUAAAGUGCAAAUGGAGGGUACUGCUAGUACCUGCCCCCUACCUGCCGCACCACCCCGCCAGGAAUGCCGCACCUGCACGGCCCCUGAGCUCGUCCUCCGAGCGAAAGGAGGCUGCGGUUUGGGGGGCAGGGGAGCGCAGGGGCAGGAGAGGGAGCAGGGGCGGCCGCCGGCCGGAGGAGCAGGGGGAGGGGCAUCGGGGCGUGUUGCAAGAGGCGCAUUCCUGGGCUUGGGGCUGAACGGCUUGGAGGUGUUGUUCGGACCUGUUGCAAGAACACACGCACGCCCAAAACACAGACGCGCCUCGAACCCCAUCUGGUAUCUGAGAUGCUCAGUGCCGGUCAGGUUGGUGUUUGUUAAUUCAGGGGGAGCAUAGUUGGGUUUGAUGCUGAUGGUGUGAAGAAGAUAGGCGAGGAGGGGUUGAAGCGGGGUUGAGCCCAAGGUUGAGCCGUGGCCCGUCGUGGCCGGCCAUGGGUCGAGUGAGAGGAUGCGUGGCGCCAUUGCGGGGCAGCAUGCCAAGCAAUCAGCAGCCACGCAGCACGGCGACAGCAUUCAGCAGCUGCAGCUACAAGCGCUGGCGCUCCACGCCUCUGUCUCAGAGGCCCAGGGCGCUGCGCUUGCAGCUGAACGGCGGCAGAAGGAGCUGCAAGGCACGGUCGCAGCGCUGCAAGUCCAGAUGGAGGAGCAACGUUGCGCGCUAGAGGACACCCAGCGCGCCCUGGCCCGAGCAGGGUGCUCCGGGGGGGGUCGACGAGGGUAAAGUCCUGCUGAAGUCGGUUAGCCCUGAGCUGCUCGAGAAACUCAAGGCGGCUGGAAAUCUGGAGGCGGUGGCCAGUGCGAGUGGCGCAAACGUCUCCGGACGAUACGUGCGCGCGUGGCGGUUAAAGGGUAGGGAGGUGUGGAAUGUCGUGGUGGAGGUGACACAGCAGGAGCGGAGCGCGCUCAUUCGGGUGGCGCAGCAGGUCCGUGCGGCUGGUGCCGUUGUCGCACCGUAUCUGACCCGGGUAGGGUGUGAGAUGCGCAAGGAGCAACUGAAGGCUUUUGAGGAGCUUCGUGAGAAGGGGCUCCGACCCCGAUGGAAAGGUGGAGCGGGCAUUACGUGCUCGGGCGCGUAAACAGCGUAUAGACGCUUUAGAAGACACUUUGCUUUUUGCUAUCAAGCGCCUCCGGACUCAGAAGAGUUAGUGGGGCCACAUGGACUCCGACGCCAUGUAAAUGCUCAUGCUCAUGCCAAGCAAGGGUAGGUUCGCAUUCGUCGAGUGCUUCUUGAGCCGCUCAAAAUUAAUAGUAUUCCCUGUCACAUCAGCUAACACCCUGGGAACUGGAGUCCCUUGAAGGUCAACUGCUCGACUGGCUUCUGACUUGAGUUAAGGCUUCAAGGCACAUGGAUACAUGCCAUUGGAGCCGGUUGACACCAGACCUCGUUAGGCGCAUUGCUGAGUUUGCCAACGCGAACGAUGUGGCGGGGUCGUGGAUGCUCGUCGACCGCGCGACCGCAGCGGCCCUGCGUGGCAGCUAUUCAUUCAUAACACCUGGUCAAAAGCGGCAGUCUCAAUGGGAAACCCAUCGGGCCCAGCAGCCGUGGCCCAAGUAUGCCUUCGUGGCGCACUGGGGCCGCCCCGAGCCCUGGCGCUCGCUCAGCCUACCCCAGCGCGAGCGGCUGUUGUGCCUGGCCGCGUCCUCGGGCCACGCGCCCAGCCUGGACGCGGCCCUGGCGCACUGCGGCUGCGUCCUGAAGCCGGAGGUGCUGACGGCGGCCGCCGCGGCUGGCAACCUGGCGGGCUGCGAGCGGCUGCUGCACGGCGAGGGCUGCUCCUUUGAGUGGGGCGCUCUCAGACAGUCGGCGGAAGCGGGGCACUUGCGAGUUCUGCAGCUGCUGCUUAAAAGCUUUGGGCCAAACGCCUUCGUGCUCCCGAACUUCUUGGCGAGGGCGGCGGAGGGCGCCUAUGCCGGCGGCCAGCCCCACAUCCUGGACUGGCUGCAGCAGGCGCACGGCAACAGGCCCUGUUCAGGCAGCGCAGAAGCAGCAGCUGCAGCCGUAGCGGCUGUGGUAGCUGCGGCGUACGGUGGCCAGGUGGCGAUACUCGAGGACCUGCUUGCCAGGAUGCAGGACGAGUUUGGUGGGCACCAUCAUCAACAGCAGCAGCAACCGCAAAACGAGCAGCAGGAAGGCGCGCCAGCAGCAGCAGCAGCAGCAGCCAUGGCGGCAGAAGACGACCCGUCAGCCGCCGUCUACUCGUGUCGCUUGCUGGCGGUGAUUGCCCGCGGCUGCCCGGUGGAGGUGUUGGAGCGGCACUACCACUCGAACUGGCCCUGGCCACCGCCCAUGCCGCCGCCCAUGCCGCCGCCACCGGCUGGCGACGGCGACAGCGAAGGGGAGGGCGACAGCGAAGGAGAGGGCGACAGCGAAGGGGAGGGCGACGGUGACGGCGAAGGAGAGGGCUCUGAGGACUCUGAGGGGGGCUUUGAAGGGGAAUCUGAUGAGGAGGGCGUUGAAGGGGACUCUGAGGAGGCCUUUGAGUUCCAGGACGAGGCGGAGGACGGCGGCGACAUCAUGGCGUGCAACUGGGGCCUCAUCUCGCUGCUUGACGCCGCCGUGGGCAGCCCCACACCCUGCUGGGCCGCCAAGCUGGACUUCCUGCUGGACGCCUGGGGGCCGGAGGUGGCGGGCCAGGUGCUGAGGGGCGAGCGCGGGUGGCAUUGUGUUUGGAAGCGCGUGUCGGUACAGCCGGAUUACUUGGCACGGCUGCGGCACCUGCACGAGCGCGGCAUGCCGCCUGACGCCGGUGCUGCAGUCGAGUGAGUUGGCUGUGUAUGUGUGUGUGAAGCCGUGUGUGUUACUGCGUGUGGGGCCUGAGCGAAUUCCUGUGGCUGCUGCUGCGGUUCUUGAUUGUGGCCCUGAUCUGCUGCGCUAGCUUGGGCUGGCUCCAUCCUCCGUGUCAUCACUUUGGCACGCGCCGCAUGUUUUCACCCCCGCGCCCCCGCACCGCUCCCCGCCUGCUAUAUACUACUGUUCCUGGCUACGCCUUCACUUCUUAAGCAAUCAUGAAUGUAAAUCCUCCCCCCAGGUCCGCGGUCCGCGGCGGGCACGCUGAGGCGCUGGCGUACCUGUGGGACGAGUGCGAGCUGCCGGUGAGGCAGUUCGACAUCGACUCUGGGCUGAGGGCAAUCAUAGUCUGCGGCACAGUGCCGGACGGCUAUCUCGACCUACUGAAGCUGCUGCGGGCGCGCCGCGGCGUGUACCUGGGCACACGCCACGCGAAAGACAUGGCCACCGAUGAGGCUGUGGUAUGGCUGGCGGGGGUGGCGGUGGAUGGCAUGAGCAGCGGCAGCAGCAGCAGCAGCGGGGAGAGCAGUGCAGACAGCGGCAGUAGCAGCACUAGCAGCAGCAGCAGCAGCAGCAGCAGCGAUGGCAGCAGCAACGGAGGUGCGGAGGUGCCGGAGACGGAGGUGGAAGGAAAGGAGGAGGAGCGGGGGGUGGAAUCCAACGCGGCGGCCGGGGGAGCUGAGGAGCACGUGCACGUCAUCAGCAGUCGCCGGGAUGACACGCAUGACACGGGCAGCAGCAGCAGCAGCGGCAAUAGCAGAUCGGGUAGCAGCAGUGGCGGGGAACGCUGGCGUGAGGACUGGACUAACGCUUUUGAGGCCGCUGCCAGUCGAGGUGCGGGCCUUGCCGCCCUGCGUGCGCUGCGUGCUCGCGGCGCGGCAGUGGACCUGGCUGCGGUGGCGAAGGGCGGCAGUGAGGAGGCGCUGGAGUGGGCGGCGGCGGAGCUGGAGGCGGAGGGCAAGCUGCAGGUGCGUGUGGUGUGGUGGGGUGGGCGGGUGGGCGGUUGGGCGUGUGUUUGGGUGCGUGGUUGGGUAGGCAGCGAGCCACACGGCAGGAUGUUGAGGGCGGCAUGUUGCGUGGCUGGGGAGGCUGGGGGCUGGGGGCUUCAUGGGUUUGUGCAAGGGCCACGUAGCCCGGUACGCCCUCCACCCGCCCUUCCAUGCCCUGCCCUUUCCCGUCUCGUCUUAUUCGUUUGUCGUCCGUUUGGUCCCCCAACAGCCGCUGAGGGAGGACGCUGUGUUCGGAGCUGGCAACGUGGCGGCUCUGGACUGGCUGCUGCGCCGGCGCCUGCUACCGCCGCCGCCAAUGGGGCUCUGGUGGAGUCCGCACCUGCCCAUGGGCUGCUCCGGGCGGAAUGCGAGCGGGUUCUGGCGGGUGCAGCUGGCGGCGCACCUGGAGAUAUGGAGGCAGGGGCAGCGGCAGGAGCAGGAGCAGGAGCAGGGGCAGGAGCAGGAGCAGGAGCAGGAGCAGGGGCUGCAGCAGGAGCAGGAGCAGGAGCAGGAGCAGGGGCAGGAGCAGGAGCAGGGGCAGGGGCUGCAGCAGGAGCAGGAGCAGGAGCAGGAGCAGGAGCAGGAGCAGGAGCAGGGGCAGGAGCAGGGGCAGGAGCAGGAGCAGGGGCUGCAGCAGGGGCAGGAGCAGGAGCAGGGGCUGCAGCAGGAGCGGAAGCGGAAGCAGGAGGAAACGCCAGGAGGCCAGGAGCCCGACACGCCGCAUGUUGAUUCAGGCUACCCGCAGCUGCAGCCACAUGGACAGGAGCAGGGGAGCCAGCGCUGCUGCUGGGGAGCAGGUGUGUGGCAGGAGGUAGCGAGGGAGGCGGCGACUCGUGCGGCGCUGGCUCGCUGCGUGAGCACGUUUGCGCUACACCAGCAGCGAUGGCUGGAGGUGCAGGCGCAGCAGGCAUGUGUCGGGUGUGCGGCAGGCGGUGCAGGUGCGGGUGUAUGUGAUCCAGGGCUGUAGGUGCUUGCGGACAUGCAGGCGUGGAGCGUGCCGUGCCGUACCUCCCAGGCAGGGGUGUGCCGUACCUCCUAGGGCCCGGUGUGGCCCUGUGCCUCGGCCCGCGGGUGCGCCUGGUGCGUGUGCCGCACACUCAGGAUUCUUUUUUUAAGCCGUCAGCAUGCUUACAGCCGGCAAAAUAAUAACUCCCGGUGGCAAAAUAAUAACUCCCAGCGCCGGCAGCGCUAGCUGGCGCAGCAGGGCUACGGUAGUUUAUUUCUUGAGACGGAUAAAAGUGGUCGUUGCGGUGCCAGUGUGGUUGCUCGAGACGAAUGAGUGUGCGAUGGGACAGUGUUAAGGCAGGUUGGUGAAGUCCGUGAGUAGGGUGCAGCUGAUUCCCAGACCCCAGCAGAUGGCAAACAAUUUGGAACGCCAGUGCAGGAGAGUACAGGUAAUGGUCAUUGCGGUGCCACGGUUGACUCGGGCGGGCUGGCAAGCGGCGGCGUGUACCGUACUGCUAAAUAUGUUGGGUGGCAACUGGUAGGGCCGUGAAGGCUGCGCGGCACUUGGGGACGCACAAAAAGGGAAAUAAUAAUCUAUAAUAAUGACCGAUGACCGGGUGGCGUUAGGCCGAUAGGGACAUAGGGUUACGGCAUCUCUGCAUCAGCGGUACGUCGGUGCGACAUGCAGCCGUGCGGCUCUUGCACUGCCGCACUGUCCUUUUCUGGUCGGGUUGCCACUUGCCAGCACACACACACACACAUACAGACACCUGCGCCAACGGCCUACCUGCCCGAAUUCUCCACCUUCGGUGGAUUCGGGGCAAUGGGGCAAAUUCCUAAAGUGCAAAUGGAGGAUACUGCUAGUACCUGCCCCCUACCUGCCACACCACCCCGCCAGGAACGCCGCAUCGGCACGGCCCCUGAGCUCGUCCUCCGAGCGAAAGGAGGCUGCGGUUUGGGGGGCAGGGGAGCGCAGGGGCAUGAGAGGGAGCAGGGGCGGCCGGAGGAGCAGGGGGAGGGGCAUCGGGGCGUGUUGCAAGAGGCGCAUUCCUGGGCUUGGGGCUGAACGGCUUGGAGAUGUUGUUCGGACCUGUUGCAAGAACACAAGUAAGCACGCCCAAAACACAGACGCGCAGUGCUCGUAUCUUGUAGAUGCCCUCAGGCACCCGGCAUCUACACAUGCGUAGAUGACCCUGACCGCGGCAUCUACACUUAAGCCCCCAAGCAGGGGGGGGGUACGAACUAAACCUCCAGACCCCAUGUCCCAAAACCUCCCGACCCCCCCUCCGGACCGACCGACCGACCCCCACCACCGUGCAACCCCUCAAAACCCCCUCAAAACCCUUUGGUUUUUAGCCAUGUCGGUGUCAAUCGACUGCUCUCGGCGAGCUCUACAAUUGUAUACCUCCGGUUCAGCUGGAGGCACAACUUGACUGGCAGCCAUGCCACACAUGUCCAUGUGUCCAUGGCCGACCACCGACCCUUCUGUCAGACUACCGGGGCGUGCGCUUAAGGUUACAAUUGCGCUGUACAUAUGAUGUUUGGGACUGUGUGCCGGAAGAGAUUGGUCGACUUUCUCCCGGGAUCAAGUGAAGAAUCCCGGGAUUCACGUCACGCUCGAUGGCCGGCAGCAGCCUUGUCGCCAUGGCCCACACGAAGCCUUGGCCGUUACAAGUUAGCAUCAGUUCGCAUAGUCUCCAUGACACCAGUGAGAGACGCUCCAGUGGGACUCUACGCUACUACGAUGCCGAUGUGGACGGACAUGCGGCCGCUUUCCAGAGGCCAAACGUUCUGCAAAUGCUUUAGUAUGUGCAUGCUAAUGUGUGCUAGUGCUUGUGCUAAUGGGAGGAGCGUUUAGAGGGGCGUAUAGGGCGCAGAGACGAAAUCUGGCAGUCCCACCCACAUCCGCGUGACGAAACCUUGGGGACCCCCGACCCCGACGACCGACCCUGAACUUUGAGGGCCCAUAACUUUGCAAUUACUACCCUGAUUGAAACUCUGAAAGUGGAUUUGGAGUCCUCGCGUCAAGCUCUUUCGUUUUAGAACAUGGGGCCUUUCCCAGUCGAAACUACCCCCCCCCUGCCCCAAGCCCCCCAAAACGUCUACGCUUCCCCCAUUUUUGCGCCAAAACCGGCCAAAAACGUCUACACAUGCGUAGAUGCGCGGCACCCAAACCCAAAAUUUUUUUGGGCGGAUUUUGGGCAGAUUUCUACAGUGUAGAUGGAAGAUACGAGCACUGCAGACGCGCCUCGAACCCCAUCUGGUAUCUGAGAUGCUCAGUGCCGGUCAGGUUGGUGUUUGUUAAUUCGGGGGGAGCAUAGUUGGUUUUCAUGCUGAUGGUGUGUGAAGAAGAUAGGCGAGGAGGGGUUGAAGCGGGGUUGAGCCCAAGGUUGAGCCGUGGGACUGCCAGGGUCGAGUGAGAGGAUGCGUGGCGCCAUUGCGGGGCAGCAUGCCAAGCAAGGGUAGAUUUGCAUUCGUCGAGUGUUUAUUGAGCCGCUCAACAUCAGUUUUAUCCGCUUUCAGCCGACACACCGGGAACUGGAGUCUCUUGAAGAUCAACUGCUCGACUGGCUUCUGACUCGAGUUAAGGCCUCGAGGCACAUGGAUAUAUGUCAUUGGAGCCGGUUGACACCAGACCUCGUUAGGCGCAUUGCUGAGUUUGCCAACGCGAACGAUGUGGCGGGGUCGUGGAUGCUCGUCGACCGCGCGACCGCAGCGGCCCUGCGUGGCAGCUAUUCUUUUAUAACACUUGGUCAAAAGCGGCAGUCUCGAUGGCGGACCCAUCGGGCCCAGCAGCCGUGGCCCAAGUAUGCCUUCGUGGCGCACUGGGGCCGCCCCGAGCCCUGGCGCUCGCUCAGCCUACCCCAGCGCGAGCGGCUGCUGUGCCUGGCCGCGUCCUCGGGCCACGUGCCCAGCCUGGACGCGGCCCUGGCGCAGUGCGGCUGCGCCCUGGAGCCGGAGGUGCUGACGGCGGCCGCCGCGGCCGGCAACCUGGCGGGCUGCGAGCGGCUGCUACAUGAGGGCUGCUCCUUUGACUGGGGCGCUCUCAGGCAGUCGGCGGAAGCGGGGCACUUGCGAGUUCUGCAGCUGCUGCUUGAAAGCUUCGAAUCAGUUCCCUUCAAGCUCUCGGACUUCUUGGCGAGGGCGGCCGAGGGCGCCUGCGCCGGCAGCCAGCCCCACGUCCUGGAAUGGCUGCAGCAGGCGCACGGCUACAGCCCCUGCUCAGGCAGCGCAGCAGCAACAGCUGCAGCCGUAGAGGUUGUAGUAGCUGCGGCGGAGGGUGGCCAGGUGGGGAUACUCGAGGGCCUGCUUGCCAGGAUGCCGGACGUGUUUCUUGGUGGGCAACACCAGCAGCAGCAGCAGCAGCAGCAGCAGCAGCAGCAGCAGCAGCAGCAGCAACUGCAAAACGAGCAGCAGGAAGGCGCGCCAGCAGCAGCAGCAGCAGCAGCAGCAGCAGCAGCAGCCAUGGCGGCAGAAGAAGACCCGUUAGCCGCCGUCUACUCGCGUCGCUUGCUGGCGGCGAUUGCCUACGGCUGCCCGCUGGAGGUGUUGGAGCGGCACUACCACUCGCACUGGCCCUGGCCGCCGCCCAUGCCGCCGCCCAUGCCGCCGCCACCGGCUGGCGACGGCGACAGCGAAGGGGAGGGCGACAGCGAAGGGGAGGGCGACAGCGAAGGGAAGGGCUCUGAGGACUCUGAGGGGGGCUUUGAAGAGGACUCUGAGGGGGGCUUUGAAGAGGACUCUGAGGGGGGCUUUGAAGAGGACUCUGAGGGGGGCUUUGAAGAGGACUCUGAGGGGGGCUUUGAAGAGGACUCUGAGGGGGGCUUUGAAGAGGACUCUGAGGGGGGCUUUGAAGAGGACUCUGAGGGGGGCUUUGAAGAGGACUCUGAGGGGGGCUUUGAAGGGGAAUCUGAUGAGGAGGGCGUUGAAGGGGACUCUGAGGAGGCCUUUGAGUUCCAGGACGAGGCGGAGGACGGCGGCGACAUCAUGGCGUGCAACUGGGGCCUCAUCUCGCUGCUUGACGCCGCCGUGGGCAGCCCCACACCCUGCUGGUCCGCCAAGCUCGACUUCCUGCUGGACGCUUGGGGGCCGGAGGUGGCGGGCCAGGUGCUGAGGGGCGAGCGCGGGAGUGUGCGGCUGCACCCGAAAUCCCGCCUAACCGCCGACUUGUGUGCGCGUCUGCGGCACCUGCACGAGCGCGGCAUGCCGCCUAGCCGGGCGGCGGUCGAGUGAGUCAGCUGUGUGUGUGUGUGUGUGUGUGUGUGUGUGUGUGUGUGUGUGUGUGUGUGUGUGUGUGUGUGUGUGUGUGUGUGUGUUUGUGUGUGUUUGUGUGUGUGUGUGUGUGUGUGUGUGUGGUGUGGUGUGUGUGGUGUGUGUUGUGUGUGUUGUGUGUGUGUGUGUUGUGUGUGUGUGUGUGUGUGUGUGUGUGUGUGUGUGUUUGCGCGUAUGUUAUGGGGGUGUGUUAAUGCGUGUAUGGGGCCUGAGCUUAUUCCUGUUGCUGCUGCAGUCCUUGGUUGUGGCCCUGAUCUGUACGUCGCUCUUGUGCUGGCUCCUCGCUCCAUGCCACGUCGUAAUAACCUGCGUGUCGGCAAACUCCAUGCACGCUUCCACCCCCGCACCCCCGGACCACUCCCCGUCCGCUAUCCUACUGUUCCUGGCUACGCCUUCACUUCUUAGAUAAUCAUGCAUGUAAAUCCCCCCCGCCCCCACCCGCACAGGUCCGCGGUCCGCGGCGGGCAAGCCGACGCGUUGGCGUACCUUUGGGAUGAGUGCAGACUGCCGGUGAAGCAGUGCGACAUUGACUAUGGGCUGAAGGCAAUCCUCGGCAAAGGGCCGGACAGCUAUCUCGACCUACUGAAGCUGUUGCGGGCGCGCCGCGGCGUGUUCCUGGGCACACGCCACGCGAAAGACAUGGCCACAGAUGAGGCCGUGCUUUGGCUGGCGGGGGUGGCUGUGGAUGGCAUGAGCAGCUGUAGCAGUAGCAGCAGCGGCGAGAGUAAUGCAGACAGCGGCAGCAGCAGCGGCAGCAGCAGCGAUGGCAGUAGCAGCGAAGGUGCGGAGGUGCCUGAGACGGAGGUGGAAGGAAAGGAGGAGGAGCGGAGGGUGGAAUCCAACGCGGCGGCCGGGGGAGCUGAGGAGCACGUGCACGUCAUCAGCAGUCGCCGGGAUGAUACGCAUGACACGGGCAGCAGCAGCAGCGGCAGUAGCAGAUCGGGUAGCAGCAGUGGCGGGGAACGCUGGCGUGAGGACUGGACUGACGCUUUCAAGGCCGCUGCCAGGCGCGGUGCAGGCCUUGCCGCCCUGCGUGCGUUGCGCGCUCGCGGCGCGGCGGUGGACCUGGGUGCGGUGGCGGAGGGCGGCAGCGAGGAGGCGCUGGAGUGGGCGGCGGCGGAGCUGGCAGCGGAGGGCAAGCUGCAGGUGUGUGCGUGCGGUCGGGUGGGAGGGAGGGUAGGCGUGUGUUUGGGUGCGUGGUUGGGUGGGCUGCGAAGCACACGGAGGCUGGCGGGAUGCUGAGGGCGGCAUGUUGCGUGGCUGAGGGCGGCAUGUUGCGUAGCUGGGGAGGCUGGGGGCUGGGGGCUGGGGCACUGGGGGCUGGGGGCUGGGGGCUGGGGGCUGGGGCGCUGGGGGCUGGGGGCUGGGGGCUGGGGGCUGGGGGCUGGGGGGCUGGGGGCUGCGUGGGUUUGUGCAAGGGCCACGUCGCCCAGUACGCCUUCCACCCGCCCUUCCACGCCCUGCCCUUUCCCGUCUCGGCUUAGUCGUUUGUUGUCUACUUGGUCCCCCAACAGCCGCUUUUGCAGCUGCAGUUCUCCUUACCACGCGACUGUUUCCUUACGGGAUUGGUUCAACGUUAACCCCAACAGCCGCUGAGGAACGACGAAGCCCGCGCUGUGUUCGAAGCUGGCAACGUGGCGGCACUGUACUGGCUGCUGUGCCGGCGCCUGCUGCCGCCGCCGCCGCCAGUGGGGCCUUGGUGGAGCCCGUACCUGCCCGGUGGCUGCUCCGGGCUGGGUGCGAGCGAGUUCUGGUGGGUGCAGCUGGCGGCGCACAUGGCGAUAUGGAGGCAGGGGCAGGGGCAGGGGCAGGGGCAGGGGCAGGGGCAGGGGCAGGGGCAGGGGCAGGGGCAGGGACAGGGGCAGGGGCAGGGGCAGGGGCAGGGGCAGGGGCAGGGGCAGGGGCAGGGGCAGGGGCAGGGGCAGGGGCAGGGGCAGGGGCAGGGGCAGGGGCAGGGGCAGGGGCAGGAGCAGGGGCAGGGGCAGGGGCAGGGGCAGGAGCAGGAGCAGGAGCAGGAGCAGGGGCAGGAGCAGGGGCAGGGGCAGGGGCAGGGGCAGGAGCAGGAGCAGGGGCAGGGGCAGGGGCAGGGGCAGGAGCAGGGGCAGGGGCAGGAGCAGGAGCAGGGGCAGGGGCAGGGGCAGGGGCAGGGGCAGGGGCAGGGGCAGGGGCAGGGGCAGGGGCGGGGGCAGGAGCAGGAGCAGGGGCAGGAGCAGGGGCAGGGGCAGGGGCAGGGGCAGGGGCAGGGGCAGGGGCAGGGGCAGGGGCAGGGGCAGGGGCAGGGGCAGGGGCAGGGGCAGGGGCAGGGGCAGGAGCAGGGGCAGGGGCAGGGGCAGGGGCAGCAGCUGCAGCUGCAGCUGCAGCUGCAGCCGCAGCAGCUACAGCCUCAGCACCUUCAGCCUCAGCAGGAGCGGAAGCGGAAGCGGGAGGACACGCCAGCAGGCCAGGAGCCCGACACGCCGCAGUUUGAUUCAGGCUGCCCGCACCUGCAGCCACAGGGACAGGAGCAGGGGAGCCAGCGCUGCUGCUGGGGAGCAGGUGUGUGGCAGGAGGUAGCGAGGGAUGCGGCGACUGUUGCGGCGGAGGCGCGGGCUCGCGGCGGGAGCAUGUUGGCGCCACACCAGCAGCGAUGGCUGGAGGCGAAGGCGCAGGCAUGUGUCGAGAGUGCGGCAGGCGGUGCGUGCAGGUGCGGGUGUAUGUGAUCCGGGGCUGUAGGUGCUUGCGGACAUGCAGGUGUGGAGCGUGCCGUGCCGUACCUCACAGGCGGGGGCGUGCCGUACCUCACAGGCGGGGGCGUGCCGUACCUCACAGGCGGGGGCGUGCCGUACCUCACAGGCGGGGGCGUGCCGUACCUCCUAGGGCCCGGUGUGGCCCUGUGCCGCGGCCCGCGGGCGCGCCUGGUGCGUGUGCCGCACACUCAGGAUUCUUUUCUUUAAGCCGUCAGCAUGCUUACAGCCAGCAAAAUAAUAACUCCCGGUGGCAAAAUAAUAACUCCCAGCGCCGGCAGCGCUAGCUGGCGCAGCAGGGCUACGGUAGUUUAUUUCUUGAGACGGAUAGAAUUGGUCGUUGCGGUGCCAGUGUGGUUGCUCGAGACGAAUGAGUGUGCGAUGGGACAGUGUUAAGGCAGGUUGGUGAAGUCCGUGAGUAGGGUGCAGCUGAUUCCCAGACCCCAGCAGAUGGCAAACAAUUUGGAACGCCAGUGCAGGAGAGUACAGGUAAUGGUCAUUGCGGUUCCACAGUUGACUCGGGCGGGCCGGCAAGCGGCGGUGUGUACCCUACUGCUAGGUAUGUUGGGUGGUAACUGGUAGGGCUGUCUGCAGUCAACUGUCACACCGGCUCUUUCGGUGUGCUGCUCGAUUGGAGUGCGCUGUUGCACAUGCGGUAGGCCGGCGGCUGGGUGUGCGAUGGGACGACAGGGUAAGGCGCAGGCUGGCGACCUGGCGUGCCGCACUGCUACGUGCUCGAUUGAUGAUGUUGGAGUUGGUGACAAGUUGUAGUUUGGCAUUAGGCACUCAGUAUCGAAUCGGCUGGAUUCCCACCUGGAUCAACAUGCAGCAGCACCGGCACCAACUGGUGUAGGUUCCCGGUAGUAAGUGAGGGAGCCGUCGUUCCCUCCAGCCGCCGAGAAACCAGGCCUCCGCAUUCUUCCCCGCCAGGACUCCACCGAAUUGGUGGAAGUGCGAUGAGACAGUGGUAAGGCAAGUUGGUAAAGUCCCGUAGGGUGCAGCUGAUUCCCAGAACCCAACAAAUUGGCAGCGGCAGGGCAGGAGUGCGCGGCUGGUCGAACGCCGCCGGAGUUACUGUACCGACAAGUUGCUGGCUGGCUGGAAGUUUGCUGAUGCGCAUUCCUCACGCUCCGGGCGCCCGGCCAGGCGAUAGCACCACACAGACGACGCACCGCAUCGCCACACUCGCUCGCCACACUCGCUCGAGCAGUCUGGUGUCACCCACCCAGCGUAGCCAACCUGCCUAAACCCUGUCCCAUCACACACCCAGCGUAGCAGCACGGCACCGGCGUACGGCACCGUAUCGCACUCGCAUUCGCAUUUAAGCAUUUAAGCAAUUCAAGCGCACCGCGAGUCCCUGCCUAAUGAUUCACCUGACGACACGCGUGUCGAUGCUGGGCCCGGCUGGGAAUGCGAUGGGAUUGGCUGGGCGCGCAGUCCCAAUAGUGUGCAGCGUAGUCCCGGUUGAUAGACCCCAGCUAGCGCGCAAUCGUCAUCCGGCAAUCAACGAUCCGGUUGCGAUUAGGUUGCGACAGGUUGCAAGGAAUGAGCGCGCGGCUGGUCGCACGGCUGGGCAUGCGGCUGGGAGUGAUGAUGUGAACCGCUGGGUCGGCUGUGACUCGACAGGCGGACCUGACGGCAGCCGCGGCGCUGUCACAUGAUGGGCGCGGUAGGUAUGAUUGACGCCCACUCCUUCAACCAGCCACAUCCUCAGCUGCCUUGGCAGACCGGCAUCCACACCAGCACCUUCACUGCUCCCGACAAGAUAUGGGAAAAGUGGGCUGCGCCCACACCACGUCUCUCGUUUGAGUGUGCGAUGGGACAGUUGUAAGGCAGGUUGGUGAAGUCCCGUAAGGUGCAGCUGGCCCCGCCCCGCAAGCGUCUACCUCAUCUUCCUCAGCCCAAAAACGCGGCCAGUGCUCGUAUCUUCCAUCUACACUGUAGAAAUCUGCCCAAAAUCCGCCGAAGGCGGAGAAAAAAUUUUGGGUUUGGGUGCCACGCAUCUACGCAGUGUAGACGGUUUUGGCCAGUUUGGGCGCAAAAAUGGGGGAAGCGUAGACGUUUUGGGGGGCUUGGGGCUUAAGUAGUAGAUGCCGCGGUCAGGGUCAUCUACGCAUGUGUAGAUGCCGGGUGCCUGAGGGCAUCUACAAGAUACGAGCACUGAACGCGGCUGUCUCUGGCAAUCGCGCCCAGCAGCGGGCGUCCAAAAAGUGGGCUGCGCCCACGCCACGUCUCUAGAUUGCAUUGGUUACAAGAGGGACCUGCUGACGCAGUUCACGAGCCAGUGACGUGGAGAACGAACACCCUGCUCUGGACCCCAGGGGCGUGCCGCCUGCAGCGCCGUCGGCCUACUCUAGCUCUAGUAGGCUUGCUCCCAUAGGACGCUCCUCCCGCCAUACCGAACAUGUUACUAGGUGCCAUCACUCUCUAGUCUGAGGCCGCAAGCGUCUACCUCAUCUCCCUCAGCCCGAGCAGCGGGCGCACAGCAGGCGCCAAUUGCAAAUCAAGCUCAUGCGCACAGCUCGACAUAUGUGCUCAGCGCUCGGGCGUGUGCGUACGCCACGUCAGCGCGCCUGACUGGCGGCUACCUGCUCUCUCUUAGACUCUCGCAAUACCGCCAGACAAUUUAUCAGCCAAUCACGCACCUGGCGCCACCGGCCAACGCACAUUGCCGUGAAUUUGCAGCAUGCCGUGCCCCGUGUGAUUGCCAUCCACUACCCGCGGCCUUGCACGGUGGCCAUGCAUACCUUACUUCCAGCGCCACCUUGCAGCUUGCACCUGGUGCCUACCCAUCCAGCUCGGCACGCACCAGCGCAGCGCACCCGCGGCCUUGUACGGCGGACACGCACGGCCUACACCACCCUACCUGCUUGCAGCGCCGGCACUAGUACCGCCCGUCGCUUGCCCCUUUGCUCCACACGCCACCAACCGCGCCCUCUGUCUUGUAAGCUCUCCUCCAUCCAACAGAAUAAUGGCCUAGAUUUCUCCUAGACUCCUGCAGCAGCCGUACACAGUGCCCAGAAUGUGGCCGCGCUCUUUACUACCUUUCUAAUGUCCUCCUCAACCAGCCCCAACUCCGCCGCCGCCACCACUCUCUCGCCGCGCCGGCCGCGCCAGCAGUUGCUGCUGCGGACUGCCGGCCCCAGAACCGCCGCCGCCCCUGUUUGUGAUGGUUGCCGCCGGCCGCUGCGGUACAGCCUUACUUAUUACCAGCAGCGCCGUCGCCGGACGUGGCUGCUGCUGGCGACGAAGCAGCAGGUGCGGCCGAGCGUGUCUCCUCGCUGGCACGAAUCCCGCCGUUGCCCACGACUUCCGGCGGCGGUGCCAUCGGCUCCUGCAGCCGGUGCAGCAGGUAGGCCUCCUGCUCCUCCGGGCUCUUCAGGCCCGCCCACUCCCAGUACGGCACCACAAGCACGCCGCCGCCCUCCCCGAACGCCCGCCGCAGCUGCCGAAUGCGCAUGGCCGUACCACCGUCCACAUCGGCGGGGUCCUGCGGCUGCUUUCGGUUGUAGAGGUACCGUUUCAGUCCAACCAGCUCCACUGCCGCCUGCUGCCCGUCACUCAGCCCCACCACCGCAGCCACUGGCGCCAGUAUGCCUGGCAAGAUAACGCCUGUUUGCAAGGACUGGAUGCUGGGGCCUUCCGUUGUCGUGAUAAGGCCCUGCUGCUCAAGCCGCCUCAGCGCUGCGAGGAGCUGUUUCUGGUUGUCAGGAGGAGGCUUGACAUCUGCUGCUCUCUCCGCUGCCACCGCCGCCGCCAUAGCCGCCUGCAGGCCGGGGCUGCCGCCCAGGGCCGCCGCCACCUCACCACCUAGCUCCCGCUGCGCCUGCCACAGCUGUGUGAGACCCGCAACUGCUGUAAAGCCCUCCCAACGGAUUGCUGCAUCGCGCGCCAGCUCAAUUGCUAGCUGCUGCAUGCCAGGGAAAGACGUGCCCCCGAGCACCGCCAUGGCCCACAGACUGCUUGAUAUGUCUUGUUGGUUUAGCGCCUGACUGUCGUGCUGCAGCAGCUCGCCCAGCCGGCCGACCACCGCCGCCUCCAAGCCGGCGUGCCGCAGCUGCAGCACCGCCAGUGCCCACAGCGUGUUUGCACAGUCCUGGCCAUUGCCCCUCUGCAUUGAUUCCCCUGCACCCGCAUCUAGCAGUCCCGGCGGCGGCUGGUGCCGCGUCAAUGCUAGGGCGUACAGCAGAUUGGCCCAAGCCUGAGGUGUUGCGCGGGCCAUGACGCCCGGCCGCAUUGCUGCGUCCACGGCGGCCGAAACCCACUGCCGCUGCUCCGUCGGCGCCUCCGGGCCCACUCCCAAACCCAUCUUAGCAAGGGCCCACGCCGAAUUGCCAACGUUCUGAGCCCCAUACCCGGCAAACCCCCGCCGCACAUCCUCCGCAGCCACCGCCGCCACCAGCUCUGCCUGCUUGCCGCCCAACUGCAGCCCCUCCAGCGCCAGCAGGAUGGUGGACAGGUCCUGCGGGGUAAAUGCUGCAGCGAGCUUCGGUGUCCGCAGCCGCUGCAGCGCCUCCCCGCACAGCGCCUCAACUGCUGCUCGGUAAUCUGGCCCCUUGCACCCAAGAGCUUUGAGAGCCCACAGGCUGGUGGCCAGCUCGUGCGGCUGCAUGCUGACACUGAACGAUGCAAUCGCCUCCGCCAGUGGCAGUAGAAGUUCUGCUGUAAUGCGGUACCCCAGCUUGGCGCACGCACACAGGCUGUUAGAUAUCCCCUGUGCUGUGAAGCCGUGCCCCACCGCCACUCGCAACCGAUGCGCCACAGCUGCCGCCAAGAUCUGCAGGCGUGGCGAUGAGGUGGGGUCCCAGCCCGAGCCGCCCCGCUGCUGCUGGUCUUGCUUGAGCUUGCCGAGCGCAUACAUAGCAUUUGAAAGCACCUGAGGCUGCGCGUCCACAAGGACCUCAGGAUCCACCAGCCGCUCCAGCAGCGCUGCUGCAAGUUGAGCCUCCGUGCCGCCGCCCCCGCCCGCAACUCCGGCUUUUCCCAGCGCCAACAGAGGAAUGCUGCAGUUCUUUGCGUCGCGGAUGCGCGGCACAAGCGGCAGGUAGGCCGGCGCAAGGGCGCCGAUAAUGCUGUUGCGUGCUACAGCCGUUGCCGCAGCUCCAGCGCGCGACUUCAGCUGCGCACAUUUGUGGAAAAUCACAUACGUCGCUUGCUUGGUUUAGGUCCCGCAACAUUUAUGUCGAGUGCAAUUUCUUCACGGCUUGGCCCCCCAACAAAGCGAUCCCCGCCCGCUUACCCUGCCGCACAGGUUGAACGCUGCAAACAUGGUGGUCACGUCUUUCCGGCCCUUCCACACUGAUAGCCGCUGGCUGAUCAGUGCUUGCAGCUCCUCCAGAGUCUGACACACAGUCAUGUCAUCCGCGGGGUCACGCCCGCUGCUGCCCCUGCCGCCGCUUCCGCUGCCCCCUCUGCCUCCGCCCGCCCUGCCUCCGCCGCCUGCCCUCCCCGCCGCCGCCUGCACACCCCACCGCCCACUGUUGGAACUACUGCCACCUCCAAUCCCUGCGGCCGCCGAGCAGCGCGGUGGGGAGGUGCUGUAGUGUGCUGGGAUGGAAGUAGCGGCGGCAGCGCGCGCCGGAAGCCGUCACUCGAGCAGCGGGCAUGGCUAUAACAAACGGUCGCGGCGCCUGGAGGCAGACUGAUGACCGAUUGCUGCCAUGUCCGCUGAGAUGGCUGUGCGCACCACCAAGGGAGCCCGCGAAGAGGCCGCUGGCGUGCAUAACGAGCAUCUCGGGCCCCCUCAGGGCCGCGAUCUAAUCCAGAGCGACUCUAUCAAGUUAUCUUUCUGAUCUAUUCAAACGCUACAGGCGUGCAUCGGUGGGAAAAGGCUGCAAGGAGCGAAAGGUCAGGUGCGUGUAGGUCGCUGGGGCAAAGUCGCUUAAGUACCUGUGGCUUGGUAUGGAUGAUAUAGCAUCUGUAACUGGGAAUCAGGUUGCCACUGGUGUUGAGGCGAUGGCGACCUGGCCGUGAAAUACACGGCCGAGGGCUGCAACACCCUCGCCCCUGAGCGACCUCCCAGUGCGCUCCAUCGGAAAGCCCUCCCCCAAGCCCUCGCGGCUGCUCUUCCCAUUUCCCGUCUUCCACCCGAACUAGUAUCCUCUCCACCGCGUACAAGCUCUGGCGUGAGUCCCUGCCCGCGUCAUUUGACACCCGUCGACCGCGACUUAGGUGCAAACGCAUGUCAGUUACACAUCCCGCCCGACACGAGAGGGGCAGAAAUGGCGGGGCAGACGGCCAGCCUGCUAAACAUGUAGAUAGCAAUACAAUAGCGCACAUCAAGCCCCUGCCUGCUUCACCUGGCCACCUUUGCUGACAUGUCUCUGACAUCCCUGUCUCAGCACAGUAAUGCCCCAAAGCUUGAGACGUCGUUCUCAGCGCGCAGGCUUUACGGUACCAACCGUGCGGUAUCAUUGCUACAUGAAGAGUGCACUGCCCCAACCAUUGAAGCAUCACAAGGUGCUUGCCUGCCGCCGCCGCCGCUGAUACGUACACGAUUGCUGCCACACAACCAACACAUCACACCCAACAAUCACAACAACAAAACAACUGAGACCCGCCGCCGCGCAACGCACACUGUACACGCUCCAGGGCCGAGAACGCAACACACACACAAGCACCUGACAUGCCUCAUCCAGGCAUGCGUCACUCAAUCGCCCACCGAGCUGAUCUCGCACACGCCGUUCGUGAGCCCCUGCGGCUGACAUGCCCGACCCUGCCGCCUUGGCACCGCCGCCCAUUGCCCCACCCCCAUGCUGCGUGCCAUGUAAUAAUGAAGCCAGGUCCCCAUCAAGCCGCAGCAUAUAUCCCCGCCAAGCCACCACACUCCUCUUGCCGCACGCUACCAACCACCACCAGCACAGGACCGGCACCUGCCUGUCCCCCUGUUUAGUUUGGGCUGGUAUUUGCAAACCCCCCGCCCCACCCUCCCCAUUGCCAACGCCAGCCAACCUCGCCCACCGCGCCGAAAUACACGCCGGCACCUCGCUCGUGCCUCUCGAGGCCUCCCAUCUUCCGUAGCUAGAGAUCCCUGUCCACGAGUAUCCACUUGGGCUCCAGCCCACUCCUGAUGCACACGCCAGCAUUAUCCAGGUCUGCAUGGUUUGCAUACCUGCCUAUCUACCGUGCACGCACACCUGCCUAGCUACGCAGACCUACCGUCCUUUUCGACCCGCCGACCCGCCUCCGCCCGCCGCCUCCCUCUGGCCGCCGUGCCGGCCGCACCAGCAGCUGCUGUUGUGGGUUGCCGCCAGAGCCGCCGCCGCCCUUGUUGCUGUUGGUGGUGGUGGUUGCGGGCUGGUGUGGCGCGGCCGUAGUGACAGCCGCAGCGCCGCCCACGGCACCCGCUGUCACUGUUUCCACCGCCACCGCCGGCUGCUGCAGCCGGCGCAGCAGGUAGGCCUCCUGCUCGGAAGGAGUCAGGAAGUCCCAUUCCCAGUACGGCACUAGUAGGACGCCGCCCUCCUUAAACGCCCGCCGCAGCUGCCGAAUGCGAAUGGCCGUACCCCCUUCCACAGCAGCGCUGGGGUCUUGCUGCUGCGUUUGUGUCAAGAGGUAACGUUUCGGUCCGAGGAACUCCACCGCCGCCUGCUGCCCGUCACUCAGCCGCACCACCGCAUCCACUGGCGCCAACACUCCUGGCGCGACAACGCCCGUCUGAAGGGACUGAACGGCUAGGCCCCCUGCUGCCUUGAGGCCCUGCUGCUCAAGCCGCCGCAGCGCUGCAACGACCUGCUUUUGAGUAUCUGAUGUGGGCUUGGCGUCUUCCCUCUCAGUAGUCACCGCCGCUGCCAUCGCCGCCUGCAGUCCGCUGCCGCUGCCCAGGGCCGCCGCCACCUCGCCGCCUAGCUCCUGCUGCGCCUGCCACAGCUGUUUGAGAUGCUCAGUUGUAAGACCCUCCCAACGGCUUACUGCUUCACGGGCCAGCUGAAUGGAUAGCUGCUUCAUGUCGGGAGAAUACGUGCCUCCGAACACAGCCAUGGCCCACAGGCUGUUGCAUACGUGCUGGUGCAGGACUGUGUCAGAGUCAUGCUGCAGCAGCUCGCCCAGCCGACCGCACACCGCCGCCUCCAAGCCAGCGUGCCGCAGCUGCAGCACCGCCAGCGCGUACAGCGUAUUGGCACAGUUCUGACCACCGGCACUACUGGCGCGCAUGGCUGCUACUGCUGCGCCCGAGUCAAGCAGCUCCGCCGGCGGCUGGUGGCGCAUCAACGCAAGCGCGUACAGCAGAUUGGACCAGGCCUGAGAUGUUGCGCGGGCCAUGGCGCCCGACUGCGUUGCUGCGUCCACCGCUGCUGAAACCCACUGCCGCUGCUCGGCCGGCGCCUCCGGGCCCGCCCCAAAUCCCAUCUUGGCUAGGGCCCACGCUGAGUUGCUGAGGUCCUGAGCGAUGUACCCGUCAAACCCCCGCCGCAUGUCCUCUUCGGCCACUGCCACCACCAGCUCUGCCUGCUCGCUGCAUAGCUGCAGCCCCUCCAGCGCCAGCAGGAUGUUGGAUAGCUGUUGCGGGAUAAAUGCUGCAGCGAGCUCCGGUUUCCGGAGCUGCUGCAGUGCCUCCCCGCACAGCGCCUCAACUGCUGACCGGUACUCUGGUCCUGUGCACCCCAGAGCUUUGAGAGCCCAUAGGCUGUUUGAAACAUCUUGCGGCUUGAAGCCGUGGCCCGCCACCGUUCUCAAGCGAGAAGCCACAGCUGCCGCCAAGGUCUGCAAGUGCGGAGAUGAGGUGGGGUCCCAGCCUGAGCCCCGCUGCUGCUGGUCUUGCUUGAGCUUGCCGAGCGCGUACAUGACAAUUGCGAGGUUCUGAGGUUCCGCCUUCCCAAGAACCUCAGGAUCCACUAGCCGCUCCAGCAGAGCUGCUGCAAGCUGAGCCUCCGUGCCGCCGCCGACCAAUCCAGCUUUGCCCAGCGCCCACAGCGGAAUGCUGCAGUUCUUUGCGUUGCGGAUGCGCGGCACGAGCGGCAGGUAGGCCGGCGCAAGCAUGCCGAUAAUGCUGCUGCGUGCUACAGCCGUUUGGCUUGCUCCAGCGCGCGACUCCAGCUGCGUUCAAAGCAGUUAUGAGGGACAUACAUGGGGUCAAGUGCUAUAUGCAUGUGUUUGUGCGUGUGCGUGAACAGGUGCGCAUGCAAGUCCUGUGUGGCCAUCUGCGUCGUGAGAACCGGAAGUCCGGGCCGAGAACGACAACAAUGGACUCGCCCUCCAUUCUGCACUUCAUUUCUGUGCCCAUUCCCACCUGCACGUAUUAGUCCUCCCUCUCACCUUGCCGCACAGGUUGAACGCCGCACACAUGGUAAUGAAGUCUUUUCGGCCCUCCCACACUGAUAGCCGCUGGCUGAUGAUUGCUUGCAGCUCCUCCAGAGUCCGACACACGGUCAUGUCAUCCGCGGGGUCACGCCCGCUGCCCCUGCUUCUGCCGCUGGCGCGGCUGCCAUCGCCUGCCCUGCCUCCGCCGCUUCCCCUACCCGCCGCCGCCUGCACUAUUGGCCGCCCGAGGCGGGAGCUACUGCUGCCGCAGAGCACUACCGCCGUCGAGACGCGCAGUGGGGAUGAGCUGCUACUGUUGAGUGCUGGGACAGAAGUAGCGGCGGCAGCGCGCGGUGAGCUGGGGCCGGUGUCGGCAGCGGUCCGAUGCAUGCCAUAAACGAACAGUCUUCUAAACGCGCACGCCGGUGGCGGUGCCUGGAGACGGGCUGAUAACGAUUGGCUACAGCCAUGUACGCUGUGCCUGUGCGCACCAGCGGGAGAGCCCGCGACGACGCGCAGGGCGAGCAUCUCGGGCCUCCUCACGGCGGCGACCUGAGCUAUAGCGACUCUAUCCGUCUACGUGUCUGAGCACUGCAAAUGCAUUAGGCUUGCAUUUGUGGGAGAAUAACGCAAGGAACGAAAGGUCAGGUGCGUGUAGGUCGCUGGGCCAAAGCCGCCUGAGUAGCUGUGGCUUGGUAUGGAUGAUAAAGCAACUGAAUCAAUUUGCCACCGGUGUUGAGGCGAGGGCGACCUGACCGCGAAAUACACGGCCCGAGGGCACGCCCCGUAUCAACACCCCUCGCGACCUCCAAACACGUGCACUGAACCGCGAAGCCCUCCCCCAAGCCUAUCGCGGCUGCUAUUCCCAUGUCCUCCUCCCCAACCAUUCUGCAUACAGGCUCUGGCGUGAGUCCCUGCCCGCGUCAUUUGACACCCGUCGACCACGACUGAGGUGCAACGCAUGUCGCUUACAAAUCCAACAUCCCGCCCGACACGAGAGGGGCAGAAACGGCGGGGCAGACGGCCAGCCUCUUGAACAUGAGCAUAGCAGUGCAAUAUCGCACAUUGGGUCCCCGCCUGCUUCACCUGGCCACCUUUGCUGAUUUGUCUGACAUCCCUGUCUACACACUUUUAUCCGCCCACGCUUGAGACGUCCUCCUCAGCGCGCAGGCUUCACGGUACCAACCGUGCGGUAUCAUCGCUACAUGAUGAGUGCACUGCCCCAACCAUUGAAGCAUCACAAGGUGCUUGCCUGCCGCCGCCGCCGCUGAUACGUACACGAUUGCUGCCACACAACCAACACAUCACACCCAACAAUCACAACAACAAAACAACUGAGACCCGCCGCCGUGCAACGCACACUGUACACGCCCCAGGGCCGAGAACACAACGCAACACAAGCACCUGACAUGCCUCAUCCAGGCAUGCGUCACUCAAUCGCCCACCGAGCCGACCUCGCACACGCCGUUCGUGAGCCCCUGCGGCUGACAUGCCCGGCCCUGCCCCCUUGGCACCGCAGCCCUGCCGCCUUGGCACCGCCGCCCAUUGCCCCACCCCCAUGCUGCGUGCCAUGUAAGAAUAAAGCCAGGUCCCCAUCAAGCCGCAGCAUAUAUCCCCGCCAAGCCACCAGACUCCUCUUGCCGCACGCUACCAACCACCACCAGCACAGGACCGGCACCUGCCUGUCCCCCUGUUUAGUUUGGGCUGAUAUUUACAACCCCCCACCCUCCCCUCCCCACCUUCCCCAUUGCCAACCUCGCCCACCGCGCCGACAUGCACGCCGGCACCUCGCUCGUGCCUCUCGAGGCCUCCCAUCUUCCGUAGCUAGAGAUCCCUGUCCACGAGUAUCCACUUGGGCUCCAGCCCACUCCUGAUGCACACGCCGGCAUUACCCAGGUCUGCAUGGUUUGCAUGCCUGCCUGUCUACCGUGCACGCACACCUGCCUAGCUACGCAGACCUACUACCGUCCUUUUUGACCCGCCUCCGCCGCCACCGCCGCCGUCUCCUCCCUCUGGCCGCCGUGCCGGCCGCGCCAGCAGCUGCUGUUGUGGGUUGCCGCCAGAGCCGCCGCCGCCCUUGUUGCUGUUGGUGGUGGUGGUUGCGGGCUGGUGUGGCGCGGCCGUAGUGACAGCCGCAGCGCCGCCCACGGCACCCGCUGUCACUGUUUCCACCGCCACCGCCGGCUGCUGCAGCCGGCGCAGCAGGUAGGCCUCCUGCUCGGAAGGAGUCAGGAAGUCCCAUUCCCAGUACGGCACUAGUAGGACGCCGCCCUCCUUAAACGCCCGCCGCAGCUGCCGAAUGCGAAUGGCCGUACCCCCUUCCACAGCAGCGCUGGGGUCUUGCUGCUGCGUUUGUGUCAAGAGGUAACGUUUCGGUCCGAGGAACUCCACCGCCGCCUGCUGCCCGUCACUCAGCCGCACCACCGCAUCCACUGGCGCCAACACUCCUGGCGCGACAACGCCCGUCUGAAGGGACUGAACGGCUAGGCCCCCUGCUGCCUUGAGGCCCUGCUGCUCAAGCCGCCGCAGCGCUGCAACGACCUGCUUUUGAGUAUCUGAUGUGGGCUUGGCGUCUUCCCUCUCAGUAGUCACCGCCGCUGCCAUCGCCGCCUGCAGUCCGCUGCCGCUGCCCAGGGCCGCCGCCACCUCGCCGCCUAGCUCCUGCUGCGCCUGCCACAGCUGUUUGAGAUGCUCAGUUGUAAGACCCUCCCAACGGCUUACUGCUUCACGGGCCAGCUGAAUGGAUAGCUGCUUCAUGUCGGGAGAAUACGUGCCUCCGAACACAGCCAUGGCCCACAGGCUGUUGCAUACGUGCUGGUGCAGGACUGUGUCAGAGUCAUGCUGCAGCAGCUCGCCCAGCCGACCGCACACCGCCGCCUCCAAGCCAGCGUGCCGCAGCUGCAGCACCGCCAGCGCGUACAGCGUAUUGGCACAGUUCUGACCACCGGCACUACUGGCGCGCAUGGCUGCUACUGCUGCGCCCGAGUCAAGCAGCUCCGCCGGCGGCUGGUGGCGCAUCAACGCAAGCGCGUACAGCAGAUUGGACCAGGCCUGAGAUGUUGCGCGGGCCAUGGCGCCCGACUGCGUUGCUGCGUCCACCGCUGCUGAAACCCACUGCCGCUGCUCGGCCGGCGCCUCCGGGCCCGCCCCAAAUCCCAUCUUGGCUAGGGCCCACGCUGAGUUGCUGAGGUCCUGAGCGAUGUACCCGUCAAACCCCCGCCGCACGUCCUCUGCGGCCACUGCCACCACCAGCUCUGCCUGCUCGCUGCAUAGCUGCAGCCCCUCCAGCGCCAGCAGGAUGUUGGAUAGCUGUUGCGGGAUAAAUGCUGCAGCGAGCUCCGGUUUCCGGAGCCGCUGCAGUGCCUCCCCGCACAGCGCCUCAACUGCUGACCGGUACUCUGGUCCUGUGCACCCCAGAGCUUUGAGAGCCCAUAGGCUGUUUGAAACAUCUUGCGGCUUGAAGCCGUGGCCCGCCACCGUUCUCAAGCGAGAAGCCACAGCUGCCGCCAAGGUCUGCAAGUGUGGCGAUGAGGUGGGGUCCCAGCCUGAGCCCCGCUGCUGCUGGUCUUGCUUGAGCUUGCCGAGCGCGUACAUGACAAUUGCGAGGUUCUGAGGUUCCGCCUUCCCAAGAACCUCAGGAUCCACUAGCCGCUCCAGCAGAGCUGCUGCAAGCUGAGCCUCCGUGCCGCCGCCGACCAAUCCAGCUUUGCCCAGCGCCCACAGCGGAAUGCUGCAGUUCUUUGCGUUGCGGAUGCGCGGCACGAGCGGCAGGUAGGCCGGCGCAAGCAUGCCGAUAAUGCUGCUGCGUGCUACAGCCGUUUGGCUUGCUCCAGCGCGCGACUCCAGCUGCGUUCAAAGCAGUUAUGAGGGACAUACAUGGGGUCAAGUGCUAUAUGCAUGUGUUUGUGCGUGUGCGUGAACAGGUGCGCAUGCAAGUCCUGUGUGGCCAUCUGCGUCGUGAGAACCGGAAGUCCGGGCCGAGAACGACAACAAUGGACUCGCCCUCCAUUCUGCACUUCAUUUCUGUGCCCAUUCCCACCUGCACGUAUUAGUCCUCCCUCUCACCUUGCCGCACAGGUUGAACGCCGCACACAUGGUAAUGAAGUCUUUUCGGCCCUCCCACACUGAUAGCCGCUGGCUGAUGAUUGCUUGCAGCUCCUCCAGAGUCCGACACACGGUCAUGUCAUCCGCGGGGUCACGCCCGCUGCCCCUGCUUCUGCCGCUGGCGCGGCUGCCAUCGCCUGCCCUGCCUCCGCCGCUUCCCCUACCCNNNNNNNNNNNNNNNNNNNNNNNNNNNNNNNNNNNNNNNNNNNNNNNNNNNNNNNNNNNNNNNNNNNNNNNNNNNNNNNNNNNNNNNNNNNNNNNNNNNNGAGAAUAACGCAAGGAACGAAAGGUCAGGUGCGUGUAGGUCGCUGGGCCAAAGCCGCCUGAGUAGCUGUGGCUUGGUAUGGAUGAUAAAGCAACUGAAUCAAUUUGCCACCGGUGUUGAGGCGAGGGCGACCUGACCGCGAAAUACACGGCCCGAGGGCACGCCCCGUAUCAACACCCCUCGCGACCUCCAAACACGUGCACUGAACCGCGAAGCCCUCCCCCAAGCCUAUCGCGGCUGCUAUUCCCAUGUCCUCCUCCCCAACCAUUCUGCAUACAGGCUCUGGCGUGAGUCCCUGCCCGCGUCAUUUGACACCCGUCGACCACGACUGAGGUGCAACGCAUGUCGCUUACAAAUCCAACAUCCCGCCCGACACGAGAGGGGCAGAAACGGCGGGGCAGACGGCCAGCCUCUUGAACAUGAGCAUAGCAGUGCAAUAUCGCACAUUGGGUCCCCGCCUGCUUCACCUGGCCACCUUUGCUGAUUUGUCUGACAUCCCUGUCUACACACUUUUAUCCGCCCACGCUUGAGACGUCCUCCUCAGCGCGCAGGCUUCACGGUACCAACCGUGCGGUAUCAUCGCUACAUGAUGAGUGCACUGCCCCAACCAUUGAAGCAUCACAAGGUGCUUGCCUGCCGCCGCCGCCGCUGAUACGUACACGAUUGCUGCCACACAACCAACACAUCACACCCAACAAUCACAACAACAAAACAACUGAGACCCGCCGCCGUGCAACGCACACUGUACACGCCCCAGGGCCGAGAACACAACGCAACACAAGCACCUGACAUGCCUCAUCCAGGCAUGCGUCACUCAAUCGCCCACCGAGCCGACCUCGCACACGCCGUUCGUGAGCCCCUGCGGCUGACAUGCCCGGCCCUGCCCCCUUGGCACCGCAGCCCUGCCGCCUUGGCACCGCCGCCCAUUGCCCCACCCCCAUGCUGCGUGCCAUGUAAGAAUAAAGCCAGGUCCCCAUCAAGCCGCAGCAUAUAUCCCCGCCAAGCCACCAGACUCCUCUUGCCGCACGCUACCAACCACCACCAGCACAGGACCGGCACCUGCCUGUCCCCCUGUUUAGUUUGGGCUGAUAUUUACAACCCCCCACCCUCCCCUCCCCACCUUCCCCAUUGCCAACCUCGCCCACCGCGCCGACAUGCACGCCGGCACCUCGCUCGUGCCUCUCGAGGCCUCCCAUCUUCCGUAGCUAGAGAUCCCUGUCCACGAGUAUCCACUUGGGCUCCAGCCCACUCCUGAUGCACACGCCGGCAUUACCCAGGUCUGCAUGGUUUGCAUGCCUGCCUGUCUACCGUGCACGCACACCUGCCUAGCUACGCAGACCUACUACCGUCCUUUUUGACCCGCCUCCGCCGCCACCGCCGCCGUCUCCUCCCUCUGGCCGCCGUGCCGGCCGCGCCAGCAGCUGCUGUUGUGGGUUGCCGCCAGAGCCGCCGCCGCCCUUGUUGCUGUUGGUGGUGGUGGUUGCGGGCUGGUGUGGCGCGGCCGUAGUGACAGCCGCAGCGCCGCCCACGGCACCCGCUGUCACUGUUUCCACCGCCACCGCCGGCUGCUGCAGCCGGCGCAGCAGGUAGGCCUCCUGCUCGGAAGGAGUCAGGAAGUCCCAUUCCCAGUACGGCACUAGUAGGACGCCGCCCUCCUUAAACGCCCGCCGCAGCUGCCGAAUGCGAAUGGCCGUACCCCCUUCCACAGCAGCGCUGGGGUCUUGCUGCUGCGUUUGUGUCAAGAGGUAACGUUUCGGUCCGAGGAACUCCACCGCCGCCUGCUGCCCGUCACUCAGCCGCACCACCGCAUCCACUGGCGCCAACACUCCUGGCGCGACAACGCCCGUCUGAAGGGACUGAACGGCUAGGCCCCCUGCUGCCUUGAGGCCCUGCUGCUCAAGCCGCCGCAGCGCUGCAACGACCUGCUUUUGAGUAUCUGAUGUGGGCUUGGCGUCUUCCCUCUCAGUAGUCACCGCCGCUGCCAUCGCCGCCUGCAGUCCGCUGCCGCUGCCCAGGGCCGCCGCCACCUCGCCGCCUAGCUCCUGCUGCGCCUGCCACAGCUGUUUGAGAUGCUCAGUUGUAAGACCCUCCCAACGGCUUACUGCUUCACGGGCCAGCUGAAUGGAUAGCUGCUUCAUGUCGGGAGAAUACGUGCCUCCGAACACAGCCAUGGCCCACAGGCUGUUGCAUACGUGCUGGUGCAGGACUGUGUCAGAGUCAUGCUGCAGCAGCUCGCCCAGCCGACCGCACACCGCCGCCUCCAAGCCAGCGUGCCGCAGCUGCAGCACCGCCAGCGCGUACAGCGUAUUGGCACAGUUCUGACCACCGGCACUACUGGCGCGCAUGGCUGCUACUGCUGCGCCCGAGUCAAGCAGCUCCGCCGGCGGCUGGUGGCGCAUCAACGCAAGCGCGUACAGCAGAUUGGACCAGGCCUGAGAUGUUGCGCGGGCCAUGGCGCCCGACUGCGUUGCUGCGUCCACCGCUGCUGAAACCCACUGCCGCUGCUCUGCCGGCGCCUCCGGGCCCGCCCCAAAUCCCAUCUUGGCUAGGGCCCACGCUGAGUUGCUGAGGUCCUGAGCGAUGUACCCGUCAAACCCCCGCCGCAUGUCCUCUUCGGCCACUGCCACCACCAGCUCUGCCUGCUCGCUGCAUAGCUGCAGCCCCUCCAGCGCCAGCAGGAUGUUGGAUAGCUGUUGCGGGAUAAAUGCUGCAGCGAGCUCCGGUUUCCGGAGCUGCUGCAGUGCCUCCCCGCACAGCGCCUCAACUGCUGACCGGUACUCUGGUCCUGUGCACCCCAGAGCUUUGAGAGCCCAUAGGCUGUUUGAAACAUCUUGCGGCUUGAAGCCGUGGCCCGCCACCGUUCUCAAGCGAGAAGCCACAGCUGCCGCCAAGGUCUGCAAGUGCGGAGAUGAGGUGGGGUCCCAGCCUGAGCCCCGCUGCUGCUGGUCUUGCUUGAGCUUGCCGAGCGCGUACAUGACAAUUGCGAGGUUCUGAGGUUCCGCCUUCCCAAGAACCUCAGGAUCCACUAGCCGCUCCAGCAGAGCUGCUGCAAGCUGAGCCUCCGUGCCGCCGCCGACCAAUCCAGCUUUGCCCAGCGCCCACAGCGGAAUGCUGCAGUUCUUUGCGUUGCGGAUGCGCGGCACGAGCGGCAGGUAGGCCGGCGCAAGCAUGCCGAUAAUGCUGCUGCGUGCUACAGCCGUUUGGCUUGCUCCAGCGCGCGACUCCAGCUGCGUUCAAAGCAGUUAUGAGGGACAUACAUGGGGUCAAGUGCUAUAUGCAUGUGUUUGUGCGUGUGCGUGAACAGGUGCGCAUGCAAGUCCUGUGUGGCCAUCUGCGUCGUGAGAACCGGAAGUCCGGGCCGAGAACGACAACAAUGGACUCGCCCUCCAUUCUGCACUUCAUUUCUGUGCCCAUUCCCACCUGCACGUAUUAGUCCUCCCUCUCACCUUGCCGCACAGGUUGAACGCCGCACACAUGGUAAUGAAGUCUUUUCGGCCCUCCCACACUGAUAGCCGCUGGCUGAUGAUUGCUUGCAGCUCCUCCAGAGUCCGACACACGGUCAUGUCAUCCGCGGGGUCACGCCCGCUGCCCCUGCUUCUGCCGCUGGCGCGGCUGCCAUCGCCUGCCCUGCCUCCGCCGCUUCCCCUACCCGCCGCCGCCUGCACUAUUGGCCGCCCGAGGCGGGAGCUACUGCUGCCGCAGAGCACUACCGCCGUCGAGACGCGCAGUGGGGAUGAGCUGCUACUGUUGAGUGCUGGGACAGAAGUAGCGGCGGCAGCGCGCGGUGAGCUGGGGCCGGUGUCGGCAGCGGUCCGAUGCAUGCCAUAAACGAACAGUCUUCUAAACGCGCACGCCGGUGGCGGUGCCUGGAGACGGGCUGAUAACGAUUGGCUACAGCCAUGUACGCUGUGCCUGUGCGCACCAGCGGGAGAGCCCGCGACGACGCGCAGGGCGAGCAUCUCGGGCCUCCUCACGGCGGCGACCUGAGCUAUAGCGACUCUAUCCGUCUACGUGUCUGAGCACUGCAAAUGCAUUAGGCUUGCAUUUGUGGGAGAAUAACGCAAGGAACGAAAGGUCAGGUGCGUGUAGGUCGCUGGGCCAAAGCCGCCUGAGUAGCUGUGGCUUGGUAUGGAUGAUAAAGCAACUGAAUCAAUUUGCCACCGGUGUUGAGGCGAGGGCGACCUGACCGCGAAAUACACGGCCCGAGGGCACGCCCCGUAUCAACACCCCUCGCGACCUCCAAACACGUGCACUGAACCGCGAAGCCCUCCCCCAAGCCUAUCGCGGCUGCUAUUCCCAUGUCCUCCUCCCCAACCAUUCUGCAUACAGGCUCUGGCGUGAGUCCCUGCCCGCGUCAUUUGACACCCGUCGACCACGACUGAGGUGCAACGCAUGUCGCUUACAAAUCCAACAUCCCGCCCGACACGAGAGGGGCAGAAACGGCGGGGCAGACGGCCAGCCUCUUGAACAUGAGCAUAGCAGUGCAAUAUCGCACAUUGGGUCCCCGCCUGCUUCACCUGGCCACCUUUGCUGAUUUGUCUGACAUCCCUGUCUACACACUUUUAUCCGCCCACGCUUGAGACGUCCUCCUCAGCGCGCAGGCUUCACGGUACCAACCGUGCGGUAUCAUCGCUACAUGAUGAGUGCACUGCCCCAACCAUUGAAGCAUCACAAGGUGCUUGCCUGCCGCCGCCGCCGCUGAUACGUACACGAUUGCUGCCACACAACCAACACAUCACACCCAACAAUCACAACAACAAAACAACUGAGACCCGCCGCCGCGCAACGCACACUGCUGUACACGCCCCAGGGCCGAGAACACAACGCAACACAAGCACCUGACAUGCCUCAUCCAGGCAUGCGUCACUCAAUCGCCCACCGAGCCGACCUCGCACACGCCGUUCGUGAGCCCCUGCGGCUGACAUGCCCGGCCCUGCCCCCUUGGCACCGCAGCCCUGCCGCCUUGGCACCGCCGCCCAUUGCCCCACCCCCAUGCUGCGUGCCAUGUAAGAAUAAAGCCAGGUCCCCAUCAAGCCGCAGCAUAUAUCCCCGCCAAGCCACCACACUCCUCUUGCCGCACGCUACCAACCACCACCAGCACAGGACCGGCACCUGCCUGUCCCCCUGUUUAGUUUGGGCUGAUAUUUACAACCCCCCACCCUCCCCUCCCCACCUUCCCCAUUGCCAACCUCGCCCACCGCGCCGACAUACACGCCGGCACCUCGCUCGUGCCUCUCGAGGCCUCCCAUCUUCCGUAGCUAGAGAUCCCCAUCCACUAGCAUCCACUUGGGCUCCAGCCCACUCCUGAUGCACACGCCAGCAUUAUCCAGGUCUGCAUGGUUUGCAUGUCUGCCUACCGUGCACGCACACCUGCCUAGCUACGCCGACCUACUACCGUCCUCCUCGACCCGACCCGCCGCCGCCGCCGCCUCCCUCUGGCCGCCGUGCCGGCCGCACCAGCAGCUGCUGUUGUGGGUUGCCGCCAGAGCCGCCGCCGCCCUUGCUGGUAGUGGUGGUGGUUGCGGGCUGCUGCGGCGCGGCCGUAAUGACAGCCGCAGCGCCGCCCACGGCACCCACUGCCACUGUUUCCACCGCCACCGCCGGCUGCUGCAGCCGGCGCAGCAGGUAGGCCUCCUGCUCCUCCGGGCUCUUCAGGCCCGCCCACUCCCAGUACGGCAGCACAAGAACGCCGCCGCCCUCCCCGAACGCCCGCCGCAGCUGCCGAAUGCGCAUGGCCGUACCACCGUCAACAGCGGUGGGGUCGCGCUUUAGAUUGGACAGAAAGCGUGCCGGUCCGAGGAGCUCCACCGCCGCCUGCUGCCCGUCACUCAGCCGCACCACCGCAUCCACUGGCGCCAACGCGCCUUGCGCGACCACGCCCGUUUGUACGGACACGACGGCAAGGCCUCCUGCUGCCUCACGCCCCUGGUGCUGCUCAAGCCGCCGCAGCGCUGCGACGACCUGCUUUUGGAUGUCAGAUGUGGGCUUGGCGUUUUCCCUCUCAGCAGUCACCGCCGCUGCCAUCGCCGCCUGCAGGCCGGGGCUGCUCCCCAGGGCCGCCGCAACCUCGCCGCCUAGCUCUUGCUGCGCCUGCCACAGCUGAUUGAGAUUCUCAGUUGUAAAACCCUCCCAACGGCUUACUGCUUCACGGGCUAGCUGAAUGGAUAGCUGCUGCAUGUCGGGAGAAUACGUGCCUCCAAUCACCGCCAUGGCCCACAGGCUGUUUGAUAUGUUUUGGUUGUUUACCGCCUGCCUGUCGCGCUGCAGCAGCUCGCCCAGCCGGCCGCACACCGCCGCCUCCAAGCCAGCGUGCCGCAGCUGCAGCACCGCCAGCGCCCAGAGCGUGUUUGCACAGUUCUGACCACCGGCACUACUGGCGCGCAUGGCUGCUGCUGCUGCACCCGCAUCCAGCAGCUCCGGCGGCGGCUGGUGGCGCAUCAACGCAAGCGCGUACAGCAGGUUGGCCCAGGCCUGAGGCGUCGCACGGGCCAUGACGCCCGGCCGCAUUGCUGCGACCACCGCUGCCGAAGCCCACUGCCGCUGCUCUGCCGGCGCCUCCGGGCCCACCCCAAAUCCGAUCUUGGCCAGGGCCCACGCUGAGUUGCUGAGGUCCUGAGCCACGUACCCGGCAAAUCCCCGACGCACGUCCUCUGCGGCCACUGCCACCACCAGCUCUGCCUGCUCGCCGCCCAGCUGCAGCCCCUCCAGCGCCAGCAGGAUGUUGGACAGAUGCUGCGGCUUGAACGCUUCAGCAUCCUUCGGUGCUCGGAGCUGCCGCAGCGCCUCCCCGCACAGCGCCUCAACUGCUGAUCGGUACUCUGGUCCCAUGCAACCCAAAGCCGCAAACGCCCAGAGGGUAUUGGACAGAUGUUGCGUCUCCAUGCUGAGACUGAGCGCCGCUGCCGCCUCUGCCAGCGGCAGCAGGAGUUCCGGUUCCGGGUAACCCAGCUUGGCGCACGCCCAGAGAAUGUUGGACACGUCCUGUGCUGUGAAGCCGUGACCAACCGCCACUCCCAACCGGGAGGCCACAGCUGCCGCCAAGGUCUGCAAGUGCGGAGAUGAGGUGGGGUCCCAGCCUGAGCCCCGCUGCUCCUGGUCUUGCUUGAUCUUGCCGAGUGCGUACAUGACGUUUGUAAGACUUUGAGGUUUUGCAGUUCCAAGAACCUCUGAAUCCAACAGCCGCUCCAGCAGCGCUGCUAUGAGCUGAGCCUCCAUGGCCGAGCCGCCGCUGAUCCCUGCUUUCCCCAGCGCCCACAGCACGAUGCUGCAAUCAACCGCCUUGCGGAUGCGCGGCACGAGCGGCAGGUAGGCCGGCGCAAGCAUGCCGAUAAUGCUGCUGCGUGCUACAGCCGUUUGGCUUGCUCCAGCGCGCGACUCCAGCUGCGUUCAAAACAGUUAUGAGGGACAUACAUGGGGUCAAGUGCUAUAUGCAUGUGUUUGUGCGUGUGCGUGAACAGGUGCGCAUGCAAGUCCUGUGUGGCCAUCUGCGUCGUGAGAACCGGAAGUCCGGGCCGAGAAUGACAACAAUUGGACUCGCCCUCAAUUCUGCACUUUAUUUCUCUGCCCAUUCCCACCUGCACGUUUUAGUCCUCCCUCUCACCUUGCCGCACAGGUUGAACGCCGCACACAUGGUAAUGAAGUCUUUUCGGCCCUCCCACACUGAUAGCCGCUGGCUGAUGAUAGCUUGCAGGUCCUCCAGAGUCCGACACACGGUCAUGUCAUCCGCGGGGUCACGCCCGCUGCCCCUGCUUCUGCCGCUGGCGCGGCUGCCAUCGCCUGCCCUGCCUCCGCCGCUUCCCCUACCCGCCGCCGCCUGCACUAUUGGCCGCCCGAGGCGGGAGCUACUGCUGCCGCAGAGCACUACCGCCGUCGAGACGCGCAGUGGGGAUGAGCUGCUACUGUUGAGUGCUGGGACAGAAGUAGCGGCGGCAGCGCGCGGUGAGCUGGGGCCGGUGUCGGCAGCGGUCCGAUGCAUGCCAUAAACGAACAGUCUUCUAAACGCGCACGCCGGUGGCGGUGCCUGGAGACGGGCUGAUAACGAAUGGCUACAGCCAUGUACGCUGUGCCUGUGCGCACCAGCGGGAGAGCCCGCGACGACGCGCAGGGCGAGCAUCUCGGGCCUCCUCACGGCGGCGACCUGAGCUAUAGCGACUCUAUCCGUCUACGUGUCUGAGCACUGCAAAUGCAUUAGGCUUGCAUUUGUGGGAGAAUAACGCAAGGAACGAAAGGUCAGGUGCGUGUAGGUCGCUGGGCCAAAGCCGCCUGAGUAGCUGUGGCUUGGUAUGGAUGAUAAAGCAACUGAAUCAAUUUGCCACCGGUGUUGAGGCGAGGGCGACCUGACCGCGAAAUACACGGCCCGAGGGCACGCCCCGUAUCAACACCCCUCGCGACCUCCAAACACGUGCACUGAACCGCGAAGCCCUCCCCCAAGCCUAUCGCGGCUGCUAUUCCCAUGUCCUCCUCCCCAACCAUUCUGCAUACAGGCUCUGGCGUGAGUCCCUGCCCGCGUCAUUUGACACCCGUCGACCACGACUGAGGUGCAACGCAUGUCGCUUACAAUUCCAACAUCCCGCCCGACACGAGAGGGGCAGAAACGGCGGGGCAGACGGCCAGCCUCUUGAACAUGAGCAUAGCAGUGCCAUAGCGCACAUUGGGUCCCCGCCUGCUUCACCUGGCCACCUUUGCUGAUUUGUCUGACAUCCCUGUCUACACACUUUUAUCCGCCCACGCUUGAGACGUCCUCCUCAGCGCGCAGGCUUCACGGUACCAACCGUGCGGUAUCAUCGCUACAUGAUGAGUGCACUGCCCCAACCAUUGAAGCAUCACAAGGUGCUUGCCUGCCGCCGCCGCCGCUGAUACGUACACGAUUGCUGCCACACAACCAACACAUCACACCCAACAAUCACAACAACAAAACAACUGAGACCCGCCGCCGCGCAACGCACACUGCUGUACACGCCCCAGGGCCGAGAACACAACGCAACACAAGCACCUGACAUGCCUCAUCCAGGCAUGCGUCACUCAAUCGCCCACCGAGCCGACCUCGCACACGCCGUUCGUGAGCCCCUGCGGCUGACAUGCCCGGCCCUGCCCCCUUGGCACCGCAGCCCUGCCGCCUUGGCACCGCCGCCCAUUACCCCACCCCCAUGCUGCGUGCCAUGUAAGAAUAAAGCCAGGUCCCCAUCAAGCCGCAGCAUAUAUCCCCGCCAAGCCACCACACUCCUCUUGCCGCACGCUACCAACCACCACCAGCACAGGACCGGCACCUGCCUGUCCCCCUGUUUAGUUUGGGCUGAUAUUUACAACCCCCCACCCUCCCCUCCCCACCUUCCCCAUUGCCAACCUCGCCCACCGCGCCGACAUGCACGCCGGCACCUCGCUCGUGCCUCUCGAGGCCUCCCAUCUUCCGUAGCUAGAGAUCCCCAUCCACUAGCAUCCACUUGGGCUCCAGCCCACUCCUGAUGCACACGCCAGCAUUAUCCAGGUCUGCAUGGUUUGCAUGUCUGCCUACCGUGCACGCACACCUGCCUAGCUACGCCGACCUACUACCGUCCUCCUCGACCCGACCCGCCGCCGCCGCCUCCGCCACCCUCUGGCCGCCGUGCCGGCCGCACCAGCAGCUGCUGUUGUGGGUUGCCGCCAGAGCCGCCGCCGCCCUUGGCGGUGGUGGUGGUGGCUGCGGCCGUAACAGCCGCAGCGCCGCCCUCGGCACCCACAGUCACUGCUCUCGCCACCGCCGGCUGCUGCAGCCGGCGCAGCAGGUAGGCCUUCUCCUCGGCAUUCGUCAGUGCGUCCCACUCCCAGUACGGCACCACAAGAACGCCACCGCCCUCCCCAAACGCCCGCCGCAGCUGCCGAAUGCGCAGGACGGUCCGUCCGUCCACGGCGCUUCGGCCAGAGCACGUUUGGUCGGAGAGGAAGCGUGUCGGUCCGACCAACUCCACCGCCACCUGCCGCCCGUCACUCAGCCCCACCACCGCAUCCACUGGCGCCAACACGCCUGGCGCGAAGACGCCCGUUUGCACGGACCGAACGGCAAGGCCUCCUGCUGCCUCACGGCCCUGGUGCUGCUCAAGCCGCCGCAGCGCUGCGACGACCUGCUUUUGGAUGUCAGAUGUGGGCUUGGCGUCUUCCCUCUCAGCAGUCACCGCCGCUGCCAUCGCUGCCUGCAGGCCGGGGCUGCUGCACAGGGCCGCCGCCACCUCGCCGCCUAGCUCCUGCUGCGCCUGCCACAACUGCCUGUGGCCCUCGCCGGAAAACCCCUCCCAACGGCCUGCUGCGUCGCGGGCCAGCUGAACUGCUAGCUGCUGCAUGCCAGGAAAAGACGUGCCCCCGAGCACCGCCAUGGCCCACAGGCUGUUUGAAAUGCCCUGUUCGGUUAGCGCCUUCCCGCCGCGCUGCAGCAGCUCGCCCAGCCGGCCGCACACCGCCGCCUCCACACCGGCGUGCCGCAGCUGCAGCACCGCCAGCGCGUACAGUGUAUUUGCACAGUCCUGACCAUCGGCACUACUGGCGCGCAUGGCUGCUGCUGCACCCGCGUCUAGCAGCGCAGGCGGCGGCUGGUGCCGCAUCAACGCAAGCGCGUACAGCAGGUUGGCCCACUCCUGCGGCGUGGCGCCGGUCAUGACGCCCGGCCGCAUUGCUGCGUCCACCGCUGCCGACACCCAUUGACGUUGCUCCGCCGGCGCCUCCGGGCCCACCCCAAACCCCAUCUUGGCCAGGGCCCACGCCGAGUUGUUAAGGUCCUGUGGAACGUACCCGGUAAACCCCCGCCGCACGUCCUCUGCGGCCACUGCCACCACCAGCCCUGCCUGUCCGCCACCCAGCUGCAGCCCCUCCAGCGCCAGCAGGACGUUGGACAGCUCCUGCGGCUUGAAUGCUGCAGCGAGUUCCGGUGUCCGGAGCUGCUGCAGCGCCUCCCCGCACAGCGCCUCAACCGCUGACCGGUACUCAAGCGCCUCCCGCAGCUUGCUUGUUCCGUACAUCGCAUUUGAAAGCUCCUGAGGCUUCGCCUUCGCAAGGACCUCUGGAUCCACCAGCCGCUCCAGCAGAGCUGCUGCAAGCUGAGCCUCCGUGCCGCCGCCGAACAAUCCAGCUUUGCCCAGCGCCCACAGCGGAAUGCUGCAGUCCCUUGCCUUGCGGAUGCGCGGCACGAGCGGCAGGUAGGCGGGCGCAAGCGUGCCGAUAAUGCUGCUGCGUGCUGCAGCCGUUGCUGCUGCCGGCCCGCCACUCGACUCCAGCUGCGUUAAUACGUAAAAGGACACAGAGUCACAUUGACCGCUUGCAUUGUUUAGGCCCCCAGCAAUUCUGUCGAGUGCUACGACUACAAGGCUUGGCCGCCCAACAAACAGGUCCCCCGCCCGCUCACCCUGCCGCACAGGUUGAACGCCGCACACAUGGUAAUGAAAUCUUUCCGCCCCUCCCACACUGGCAGCCGCUGGCUGAUGGUUGCUUGCAGCUCCUCCAGAGUCCGACACACAGUCAUGUCAUCCGCGGGGUCACGCCCGCUGCCCCUGCCGCUGCCUCCGCUGCCCCCUCUGCCUCCGCCCGCCAUGCCUCCGCCUCUGCCCCUGCCUCCGCCGCCGCUUCCCCUCCCCGCCGCCGCCUGCACAACUGGUCGCGCGAGGCGGGUGCUGCUGCUGCCACCCCGCAUUGCCACCAUCAAGCCGCGCAAUGAGAAGGGGCUGUAGCGUGCCCGGAGAGAAGCAGUGGCGGCAGCGCGCGCCGAGCUGGGGUCGGAAGCAGGUGCUCUGCUGGGCGCUAUGCCUCGAGCGGCGGGCAUCGCUGUAACCACCGGUCGCGGCGCCUGGAGGCAGGCUGGUGACCGAUGGCUGCCAUGACCGCUGAGGUGGCUGUGCGCACCAGCGGGAGAGCCCGCGAAGCGACCGCUGGCGCGCAUGACGAGCAUCUCGGUCAGGGCCGCGAUCUAAGCCAGAGCGACUCUAUCAGGUUAUCUUUCUGAUCGAUUCAAACGCAAUAGGCCGGCAUAGGUGCGAAAAGGUUGCAAGGAACGAAAGGUCAGGUACGUGUUGGCCGCUGGGGCAAAGCCGCUUGAGUAGCUGUGGCUUGGUAUGGAUCAUAAAGACACUAUCGCUCAGUAUAAAUGCAGCUUCAGGAUUGAGGCGAUGGCGACCCGGCCGUGAAAUACACGCACACCUGCAUGGCCUGCGGGGGCCGGGGCACGCCGCCCCCGAGCGACCUCCGAGCACCCCAAAGCCCUCGCGGCUGCUCUUCCCAUGUCCCGUCUUCCCACCGGACUAGUAUCCCCUUCACUGCGUACUGGCUCCGGCGUAUGUUGUUCUUGCCCACUUCAUCUGACACCCGUCGACCGCGACUGAGGUGCAACGUUGCAUGUCAUUUUACAAAUCCAACAUCACGCCGCCCGACGCGAGAGGGGCAGAAACGGCGGGGCAGACGGCCAGCCUGUUGAAUUCGGAUAACAGUGCAAUAGCGCACAUUGGUCCCCGCCUGCUUCACCUGGCCACCUUUGCUGACAUGUCUCUGACAUCCCUGUCUCCACACUUUUAUCCGCCCGUGCUUGAGACGUCGUUCUCAGUGCGCAGGCUUCACGGUACCAACGGUACGAUACUAUCGCAACAUGAUGAGUACACCGCCCCAACCAUUGAAGCAUCACAAGGUGCUUGCCUGCCGCAGCCGCCGCCGCUGAUAUGUGUGCGAUUGCUGCUGAAACCCACUGCCGCUGCUCUGCCGGCGCCUCCGGGCCCACCCCAAAACCCAUCUUGGCGAGGGCCCACGCCGAGUAAGGGUUGCACAGUACUCAGUACGUGUUAGUACGUACUAGUACGUACUGAGUACUAGUACGCCUCUCCUGGGUCUCAGUACGGCGCAAAAUACGCCAGGGGGGCGGGGGGCGGGGGUGUGGGGGUCGCCGGCGGGUGCCGGUGGCCGGUGGUCGUGCCGUGUCAAUGCGUCGGUGGCACAGUGCAGUGGCGAGAGGCAACAUAGACGCAACAUAGGCAACGUCUUAAGCAUAAUAUGAUUCUGUGUGUGUAGUUGCUCACAACCAAAAGCCUGGUAUCAGUGACACGAUGGCCGAUGCGAUGCGCGAACCGAGCCUGCCCUAUUGGAUACGCGCAAUGGAGCUCUGGAUGGAUAAGCUUGAUGGCCAAACAGUAGGCAAAACAGGCUGCGCAGUUGUCACUCCGCCCAUUUCUCGACAUUUAAUAAAAGUAUGCGUUUCCAACAGCAUAGCGAGCUGUAACGGCCUCGAGUAUGGUCAUGUAUAGUAGGAUACAGGGAAGGAUACUAAGGAGGAACAAGGAGAGCGAAAUUUGCAUUGGGACCGGGCAAAGGCUGCAUGGGACGUACUAUAGCACGUACUAACCCUUGCUCGCCGGCGUAUUAUAAGUGAAUUAUGGUGUAUUGUACUAGAAAGCUGUGUACUGCGUAUUAAUACGCGUAUUGUAAGAAAAUGGCUAGUACAGUGCAACCCUGCCCGAGUUGCUGAGGUCUUGUGGCACGUACCCUUCAAACCCCCGCCGCACGUCCUCCGCAGCCACCGCCGCCACCAGCUCUGCCUGCUUGCCGCCCAGCUGCAGCCCCUCCAGCGCCAGCAGGAUGUUGGACAGCUCCUGCGGCGUGAAUGCUGCAGCGAGCUCCGGUAUUCGGAGCCUCCGCAGCGUUUCUCCGCAUAGCGCCUUAACUGCUGAUUGGUACUCAAAUGCCUCCCGCAGCUUGCUUGUUCCGUACAUCGCAUUUGAAAGCGCCUGAGGCCUUGCAGUUCCAAGAACCUCUGAAUCCAACAGCCGCUCCAGCAGAGCUGCUACGAGCUGAGCCUCCGUGCCGCCGCUGCUGCUGACCCCGGCUUUCCCCAGCGCCCACAGCGGAAUGCUGCAUUUCAUUGCGUUGCGGAUGCGCGGCACGAGCGGCAGGUAGGCCGGCGCAAGCACGGCAAGGAUGCCAGUGCGUGCUGCAGCCGUUGCCGCCGCUCCAGCAGAGCGUGACUCCAGCUGCGUUUGCAGUACGGGGCAGGGAGUAUGAGGUCAAGCGCUAUUGUUUCCAGCUACAUCUAUCCCAGGUACGGUCUCCAGACAUGCAAAACUAAUGCGCGCGUGGGAGCGUGUGCCUCAGUGCCUCGCAAACUUACAUUUCCACAUUUGCUGAACGCCGCACACAUGGUGACCACAUCUUUUUUCCUCUCCCACACUGAUAGCCGCUGGCUGAUGAGUGCUUGCAGGUCCUCCAGGUUCUGACACACGUCCAUGUCAUCCGCGGGGUCACGAGCGCCGCCUCUGCCUCCGCCGCUGGCGCCGCCGCCUCCCGUUCUGCCGCCGCCGCCGCCGCCGCUUCCCCUACCUCCCGCCGUCUGCACAAACCGCCGCUGCACCUGGGGCUGCGCGAGGAAGCCGCGUGUUGCUGUAAGCGUAGCUUGCAGGCGUCCUGGCAUCCGCGGAGCGUUUUGACUGCUUACAGCUGCUGGCCCCGCAGGCAAGCCAACAUCGAAGCCCACUUCACGACCAGGCCUAGAGCCUACAGGUCCGAUGCGCCAUGCAUUGCGGCUGAGCUGCGGGGCCGCCGGGACAGCGGAGCAAGCAACCCUGCUGGGCCACACGGCUCGAGCGGGCUGCAGCGCGCAUGCCGGCCGCGGGCCCUUGCUGACAGCUAGCGGUGCUAGCAGUGCGCCAUAGCAGUUGCCAUGCCCGCUGAGAUGGCUGCGCGCGCCACCGCGAGAGCUCGCGCUGCAUGGCGAGCAUCGCAGCAGCCCCCAGCAAGGCCGCGAUCUAAGCCAGAGCGACUCUAUCUGGUUGUACAGCUCGGUGCUUUAAUUGCAAUGGAUAUGCAUCGAUUGGAAAAGAAGGCAAGGAACGAAAGGUCGGGUGCGCAGAGACGCUUACGGUUGAUGCGUUAAAGCCCAACGCUGUAGAUGUGAUAUACCGUGUGGGCACUGUUGAUAAAAGAAUGUCAAAUGUUGUCGUGAACUCAACCAACGGCACGCCCCGCAUGCAACCGAGGUUUAACCGAUCGAUCACCUAAACCUAGUCAGCCAAUGUCCGAGCUGCGGCAUUAUCUCCCAAUCCCAGAGUCGAAUCCAGCACGUCCAUUACAGCUAACACUGGCUGAGGGAGGCUGGAGACCUGCCAAUGGAUGGACACGGGGGUGUCAUGUCAGCCAGUCUGUGCGGAUGCCACCUACCAUGGGCGACCAUUCACAAUGGGGCCUGGACUCGGUCUUAGGCAGCACCGCCCCACCGAGGGGACGCUUUGGGGGAAGCGGGGGGAGCGCCACAACCAACCGGCGACACGACCGCGAUGGGCAAACCGUGGCCUUUCAGCUCGCUGCGUGCAUUAUUGUGUGCAAAUCCUUACACAUUCCAGCACAUAUACAAUUAUUGAACAGCUCCAUCAGCGAAGCAACGGCGUGGGCGUUUCGGCUUCGCGUCUAGCUUGAAGCUCUGCCAAAUCCUCAUAUUGCGCAAUAAUUAUAACACUACUGGCGCCUCUUAGAACUGCAAACCUAGGCCCAUUGCAAAGUCGCGUCGAGGGCCCAGAACGUUGACUAGGCGAGCGCGACUUUCUCAGGCCUGCCAGGUGAGCCGGCUAGUACUACUGCAUAAUCUUGACUCAUUUAGACCCAGAUUACAAGACGCGGUCGCCUCAGCUACCGGUUCUGCUUGGCUUCCCGGGCUUGCAUCGCCAUAGCAAAGCGCGUGUGUAUCGCCGCACCUCUCAGAGCUUGAUUAAUGUCCGUGUACAACUGCGGGCUGACUCCGCGCUGUCGGGCCCCUCGUCGCGCUCUCGGCAGAAUGCUCGCAGUUGAAGAGACCGCGCUCGCGGACGUCGCGGAGCAGGGGCAAGUGGCGGAGGUCAUAGAGGAAGUGCUCGCGGCCUGCGAGCAAAGCGAAGGCGAGCCGCCCGGCGCUACAGCUGAAGUGGCAGAAGGCGACGUCGAGCUGAAGGUGGAGGAGGAGGCGGAGGAGGCUGCAGCGCCCGCUGCUCCGGCGACCCCCGCGGAGGCCGACGCUACGGCCGACAGCGCCGCCGCUGCGGCCGCCCGGCGAAAGAAGCCACACGUGCCCUACUCCCAGCGCGAGGUGCGUGCGAUUAUCAUCUCACCGGGAUUCUUUUUGUUCCAUACAAGGAUGUGAGGGAGGCGCAUUCGUGGAAGAGGGAGCUGGGCUGGUGAUGGGACGGCGGUUGUUAGGCAACCGCCGUCUCACGAGCACAACGAUGAGCUGCAAUCAAGGGGGCUAGCAGCUGGGGACAUGGCAGCUUCACGCAGCUGCAUGGGCGACGUAGACCUCCCUUCCCUCAGCCCGUCUGCCACAAACCUCUCCCGAAGCCUACCUUGCCUUGCCAAACCUUUCCAACGUAAACAUGCGCAACUUGUCCUGCGUGUUCGCACAAUGCAUUCGGCCCUUUCCCCUUCUACGCUCCCUUUCUGCACAGAUCUUUGAGAAGAAGCCGCAGGCGCCUGCGCUGCCGGCCCGCCCCGCCACCAGCAGCAGCAAUAGCACCGGCGCAGGCGCGCGGCGCGGCAGCGGCACCAACAGCGGCGCCACGGGUGGCGCCGCCACCCGCGCCUCCGGCAUUCCUAACCGCACCUCUGCGCCGCUGUCUGCGUCCGCUGCCUCCGCCAAGGCCGCCGGUCCCGCUGGCAGGGCCCGCGCCGGCAGCGCCAGCACCUCGGCGUCCGGCGAGGCUGCCGCCGCCGCCGCCACAGCAACAGUAGCGGGGGGCUCGCCGCCUUUGUCCGCUGGCAAGGCUACAGCCGGCGGCGGUGCCGGCGGUGGCGGGUUCCGUAGCACCAGCAUGCCGCACGGCACCAAGCAGCAGCAGCAGAAGCAGAACAACAGCAGCAACGCCGGUAGCAGCAAUGGCGCAGCGGACGCCAAAACACUUCGCACAGCUGCCAGCGGCCGCGACGCUAUCCGGCUCGCACGGGAGCACGGCGGAGGUGGUGGCGGCAGCAUUCCGCACCAACCCAAGUCCUCGCCGUCGCCGCCGCCGGCGCAGCAGCAGCCAUCCCCCGACGCCGGUGGUGCUGCUGCCACGGCCGCCACCACCAAGCCCGGCGCCGUCGGCCGCAGCCCCAGCCAGCGCACCUCGGCCGGUUCCAAGGGCGCAGCUACUGCCGCUGCUACUGCCGCAGCUACUGCCGCUGCUACUGCCGCUGCUACUGCCGCUGCUGCGGAGGCCACGCCCAUCAAGGCGCCCAGCGGCCGCGGUCUGGGCAAGUCCAGCAGUGCACGCCUGAGCCCCGGCGCCGGCGCCGACGCUGCUGCUACAGGUGCUGCUGCAGCAGGUGCUGCUACAGCCAAGACACCAGAGAAGGCUUCCAGCGGCGUGUCCCGCGCCUCGCCCGGCGUCGGCCUCACCAAGAGCACGAGCGCCCGCGCCGCGGCUGUUGCUACAGCCGCUGCUACUGCCGCUGCGGGCGGCGCGGACGUGCCGCCUCGCCGCGUGAGCCGUGUGAGCAGCAGCAGCGGCGCCAAGCCCCCGGCGCCCGCUGGCGGCAGUAGCAAGAAGCUGACCGGGGCCGGCGGCAGUAGCAAGAAGCUGAGCGGCACCAGCGCCAAGGCCGGCGGCGGCACCCCCACCAAAUCCGCCUCCUCCGUCUCCGCCUCUGGCGCCGCUGCUGCAGCCAGGGCCGCUGCUGCAGCCGGGGCCACAGCAGCAGCAGCGGUGGUGGGCGGUGGGGGCGCGGGCGGGGCGGGUGCGGCCCAGGCUCUGGCCGUGCCUGCAGCGGUGGUGGCCGCCAUGUCGGGCGUGCCGGCUCACGACAGCGCCAGCGGCUCCCUGGACGAUGCCACCACCCCGCGCGACCGCGGCUCAGCCGAGGCCUCCCGCGGCGUGGCCGCCGCCACGGGCGCUGCUACUGCUGCUGCUGCUGCUGCUACCGCUGCUGGUGCUGGCUCCAACGUGGCGGUGCUGGACCCCACCGACUCCUUGUCCGCCUCCAGCGCCGCCACCGCCACCGGCACCAGCGCCAACGCCAGCCGCGACCUCAAAUCUACUGCUACCGCCGCCGCCACCGCCGCCGCCGCUGGCGGCGGCGGCAAGCCGGCGGCGGGCUCCGCGCCCAUUCCUGUACCAGGCGGCGGCGCCGCCGGGACUGCGGCGGGCGGCGGCGGCGCCGGUCCGCACCUGGGCAGCAGCAGCGCAGGCAGCAGCAGGCUGGGCGGCUCGUUGUCGUCGCCCAAGAGCGCCAACGACGCGGCCGCCAAGAUGCUUCGCGUGGAGACGCGCGUGCGGCAGGGCUCGCGCGGCAGCGGCGACCUGGUCUCGAGUAGCUGGCAGGCGCGCGCCUCGCCCAGUGGUGGUAAUAAUGGCGGUGGUAAUGGCGGUGCUGGUGGUGGUGCUGGUGGUGGUGCUGGUUCUGGUAAGGCGUUGGCGUCGGGGGCGGGAGGCGAGGGCGGGGUGGAGAAGGAGCCGACGGGCGCGGGCUGCCGCUGUGCCAUCAUGUGAGAGGCUGCUGGUGGUGGUGAUGCUGCUGCUUUCAGUUGCGGUUGCAACUGUAGUGGAGGGAGGGUGGUGGCGGGGGUGGCGGCGUAGGGUCCCGGUUCUGGAGGGGGAGGGCCACGCACACUGACGCAGGCACGCACACGGCGCAGAUGGUGUGGAGCAUUGGAUGGGAUGGGCGCGAAGGUUAGGGUGUGAAGGUUAACUAAAUAUAACCCGGCGAGUAUAUAAAGGUUAAACGUGAGUUGAGCACAAGUAAAUGAUCCUGAUGAAGACCGGUUUCGUGCGUUUGAAUGGGCAGAUUGACACGACUGCAUCUGGUCCUGCGGUGAUAAUGACUGGCGAUGUUGAUUAUUUUAGUGAUAUUCCGGCUGCUAAUGGGAGUCGUGCGAGCGUGCGCUUGACACACGGCUGCGGGUUUUGUGUGUGUGUGUGUAUGUGGGUGGAAUGUGGGUUUGUGUCGGACCGGCAAGACAGACGGGUGGCUCUGCUUGGGCUCUCCUCUAUCUUGUGUGUGCUGUGCUGUAUGUUAUGUGCAUGAUACGGUAUGCCUCUUGUUUUCACGUCUUUGUACAGGCCCACGCGAGUGGUACCCGGUACGUUAGUAUUGAGUAAGGCCUAUUGACCGCAAAUAGACGGUGGGUGAGCGGGUCACAAUCAGCCGGAGCGAGGGAGCCUGCGCUGCGACGCACUGCUGCAUGCGUGAACAUUAGGUUUGGCGAGGUCGGAAAAUAAUGAUUUGGGGCCGUGCGCUGUGGCUAUUGCGGGGGGCUCGAGAUAAGGCGCAGAGUGGUGUGUAACGGAGAGGGAGGGAAGGGGCACCGCAGGGAUCAGAUCGCACCCACCCGUAGGGCACGCUUGGGUUUGGAGAUUGCGUCCGGGGUGGGCAUGACGGAAUGUGUCUCCAUUAUGACGAUUAUGUGCGGGCUUUCGGGGGCAGCUGCUGCUAAGCAGGAGGGUUCAUGUGGUUGGUGCAGCGCCAGAGUCGGCCAGUGUGAAUGCCCAGAACGUUGACACGUAGCUUGCGCACGACCAGUUACCGUGAGAUGCAGCCGGCUUGUCAAGGAGUAACAUCUCUGGCAUCACUGUGCUUGUGGUUCUUGGAAGUCUGGGGUAUGAACCGGGGGCGCGGAACGGAUGGCGUGACGUGUGCUGAUGCGGAGCUACGGCGUUGUAAGUUGUUGCAAUCACAGCGGCUGCCCGCGCCCCAACCCCUGCUCCCGCGUGCCACGCCAGUUAUCACAUCGCUGUUGUUUCAUGGCGGGCGUAAUAUAAGAGCACCACUCGAAUUCCUGGGCGCGAUCUGGUCCGUCAACGCGAGCUAGAGGGAAAGCACUCGCGAAAACCUUGACUGAUCAAUGGGGCAGUGCGCGCCCACACCCGGUAGUUGACCAAUUGCUGCACAAAUCUUGUAAUCGCUUUUAUCUUAACGUUAUUGGACUGGCCUGUUUGCUUGCACACGAUAGGAGGUUGUAUUCUUCAUGGCUAGCCUUCGCUCAACAGUUGCUGGCACCCCGGCCUCUGGAAUGGCCUAUAAACUACCUUCUGGUGGCCUUACAUGCCUGCGGGCAAGGAAUGCUUGCCAACUUCAAGGCCCAGGUCACCGCAUCCGCACCGGAGCUGCGCCCGCAGGAGGCCCCAACGCUGGCGUAGCGAGCUCGUGAGUAGUACGAAAUUCCCAGCGCGCUAGAGUUACUUGCUGAAAUAUGCGAGGGGGGCUGCGCGGAGCUGUUAAUUAUUCCCCCACCCUAACUGGACUGUUGCGCGAGCCGGUCUGCGCAAGCGCAUACCCUGCGUUUGCGAUUUGGGAGGCCGCAUCAGGCCUAAGAGCGGGUUCCUGAGCCCUGGGAAUCACACUUGGGAGCCCUGGGAAUCACACUUGGGAGCAGCGUUUCCAGCGAGCCUCGCCCCCGCCGGCUCGGCCCCGCGCACCUCUCUGAUGCCUGGCCAAACGGCCAGCAGUAGUAGCGGCUGCCCGCGGCUCUCGGGGCCAGCCCAUAAUGACAGCUCAGCGCGGCGCGAAAGCACGGCUUCAGGUGGAAAACAUGCACACCAUCCCUUUCUUGCGUCCAGUUCACGCUUGCGCAACACCCAUAGCCCCCCGGCCCUACCACACCCUCUCCCCUCCCCUCACCUCACCUCCCCGCGCCUUCCUUCCCAAACCGCGCCCCCCUUUCUUCUAUCACCUCCUUCCCUCUUUUGCAUUGGGAUCAAUUUAGCUUGGGCUGUUAUCUACAACCCUCUCUCCCUCUCCCCAACCGUGUCAACCCGCUCUCUCCCUCUCCCGCUCCCUAUUGUCUUGGCUUUGGCCGGGUUUUUGUGGCAACCAACUCCCAACACUGCCCCCCACUACCACUUCCUUAACUAAGUAUGAAUGUAACCCCCCUCCCUUGCAGGGUUGUGGAGUCGGUGGCUGCGCCGCCGCCGCCACCAGCGCCGCUGCAGUUGCCGCCGCAGGUGACCCGGAGCCUGGGCAGCGGCUCCUUCAGCUCCAUGGAUGAAGUGGACAUUCGCAUGUUCCGAUUCACCGCGGCGCAGCUUGGUGAGACAUAACAUAUUCGUUGAAGAUGGGCUUGGGUUGCAGUAGCAUGUGCUGUAGUACAUAGUUUUAAUGAUAGAUGCAAAAGUGUAACUGCGCAUAUGCAUCUUCCCAGGGGCAUCACCCCAGGGGCAGCUACGCGUUCCCAAGCACAUCCUCCCACAGACCCACACCCUCCCAAAUUUACAUGACAUAUCCGCCUCUGCGCACCUCCGGGACCGCAUGCAGCUAGCUAGCCCCCUCACCGAUGCCGCCAACGUUAACGAGACACGCACACACGCGCACAAACGCCCCUGCACCGCAGACACCUUCCGCGGUCUCGCCUCGGCUAUGCGCAACUGCUCCACUGCUCUCAUAUCGCUGGCGGUGGGGAACGUGUUCGUAAACGCCUUAGAGGUGAGGGGGAGCGGUGGUGGUGAAUGGGGGAUGAAGAUUUGGGGAGGGCUAGGGAGCGUGUGAGUGUAUGCGUGUAUGCGUGUGCGUGUGGCGCUUAAUCGCUGGCGGUGUGAUAUCGCUGGCGUUGGGGAGUGCGUUUGCGAACACGCUGGAGGUGAGGGGGUGAACAAGGGGAGAGAGAGAGUGUGUUAUUGCCGUGUGGUGUUCAGGAUCCUGUGUUUUGGCACGCUGCGCGUGCUGUCGGGAGCUGCCGGAAGGUGUGUGUCCCCCAAGUACCCACGGUGUGCCCAACGGCCCCCGAUGUGGGCGGCUUGGGUUCCCCCCCGAACCCCCGCACCCCCGCACCCCCGCACCUGUACGGCAUACACGACCUCCUCUCCUGUGUGUGUGUGUGUGUGUGUGUGUGUGUGUGUGUGUGUGUGUGUGUGUGUGUGUGUGUGUGUGUGUGUGUGUGUGUGUGUGUGUGUGUGUGUGUGUGUGUGUGUGUGUGUGUGUGUGUGUGUGUGUGUGUGUGUGUGUGUGUGUGUGUGUGUGUGUGUGUGUGUGUGUGUGUGUGUGUGUGUGUGUGUGUGUGUGUGUGUGUGUGUGUGUGUGUGUGUGUGUUUUGCACUCGCCACUCACUCGCUCGCAACCCGUGUGUUUUGCACUCGUAACUCACUCGCUCUUGACUCACGGCGCCACCAGGCUACCACCAACCCUUCUGCCGCACCUGCGAGUAUCCUCAGUGCCCAUUGCUCUCACCCAUCCGCUGCACUUGCCCAUGUUUGGUACCCGUGCUUUAACGUUGCAACCUCGCAAACCCCACAAACCCCACAAACCCCACAAACCCCACAGGCAGUGGAGCACCACCACUCCCACCACCACGCAGCAGAGGGCGCGGCGGCGGCGGAGGGAGCGGCGGCGGCGGCCGGGGCAGCGGCGGGCGAGGCGGCGGCGGCGGCGGGGCAUGCGGUGGAGGCGGCGCUCACAGCUCCCCUGUUCUUUGAGGUGGGCUGGUGGGGGGCGGGAUGGGGGGGGGGGCUUACACGGGUGUGGGGGGCAGGGGGAGGGUUAGGGAUGCCGUGGUGUGGUGUGGUGUUGGCAGAUACAUGGUUCAUACCGAUCCACGCGCUCGAAACCUCUCAGGAGCUGGUCCGCUGUAUCUCCUUCCCCAAUGUAUCCCAAGACCCCCACCAGCCGCAACUUCGCUACUUCUUGAUUAACCUGUCCCCUUCCCCCCCCCCCACCCCCACCCCACGCCACCAUGCCACCGCCCCCCCCCUGUCGACUUCGCUACACUUCUCUGUACCAAUCCUUGCAACCCCCCCCCCCUUGGUGUGGUGUUGACAAUCACCCCGUACGGUUUCCCCUUUCCCUUCUCCCCCCCUCCCAACGCCACCUCACCUCCCCCCCUUCAGGAGAUGGUCCGCUCCAUCUCCUUUUCGGAUGUGGCGUUCUGCGUCAACGCCCUCAUCCCAGCGGCCCUCAUCGCCUACUCCGUGGGUGGGUGCGAGCUUGAAGAAAAGUGGUUUGGGGUUUUGCGGGCGUGCGGGUUUCAGUGCUGCGCGCCUUGCGUGUCUUGCUUGUGUGUUGACCGCUGCCUCUCAUACCCACCCACCCAUCCGCACGCAUCGCGUUGUCCGUGGGUGGCUGCCCUUCCCUUCCCCCCGACGACUUCACUUCUUAAUUAAUCAUGAAUGUAACCCCCCCCACCCCACCCAUGGGCCAUGGCCUUCCCUCGCGAUCCCCACCUCCCCCCCGCUCUCCGCCUCCCCCCCCUCUCCCCCCCUCCACCCAUCACCCCCCUCUCCCCCACCUCUCUUCCCACACCUCAGGCCCCUCUCCCCCCCCGUCGGCACUUCACUUCAUAUUUGAUACACACCAUCCCAUGGAUGGCUACCCCCCCCCCCCCCACGCCCACUUCUUAAUUAAUCAUGAAUGUAACCCCCUCUCUUCCCCCCACACCUCAGGCCCCUUCGCCGAGCUGGCCAAGGGCCCCGACCAGCCGCACAUGGCCCUGGCUCUCAAGGUGGGCGUGUGUGUGAUUGUGUGUGUGUGUGUGUGUGUGUGUGUGUGUGUGUGUGUGUGUGUGUGUGUGUGUGUGUGUGUGUGUGUGUGCGUGGAGAGGUGGGUGGAGCGGUUGUCUGAGCAGUUGGAAGUGAACGUAGUUGCGGCUGUGUGGUUUGCUGCAGCAUCGUUGUGUGGCGGGCAGACGCGCACGCACAUGUGCAUGUGCCCUGAGUCCAUGGUUUAAUGAAAAUCACACUUCGCUGGGCGUCACGUGGCUGUCGGUGCGAUUUAAUGACGUGCAACUCCGAGGGGCCGCUUAGUUUGGGGAUAUGGUGGUGGUGGAGAGGUUGGUAAACACGCUGGAUUGGACGGAGUUUUUAGGGUAGCAAGAGCUUGGGUGCGUGGGGCUUAGGCAGGCCCAGCAUUACUAGCUACGGUAGGCCCAGCAUUAGUAGCGUGUCACUGGAGGAUGCCGACAUGCAAGCGCAUGAGCCCACACAUGCAGGUACGGUAGUGACACCCCCCUUCCAGCAUCUCCUUUCUAACCAACACAAGACCAAACCUGCCCGCCUGCACACCUACAUGCGCAGCUUCCAAACCUUGCCUCAAGCUACCUUCCACACACAUCAUGUAGCCUCACCUUGCACGCACACUUACACGCAAUCAUACACACAUUUACAUGCGCGCAACCACACAACCCAACACACACACUCACACACAUGCGUGUCACAGGGCGUGGGGCGGCUGAGCCUUACCAUGCAGCAGCUGGCCUGGACCAGCGGCUCGGUGGGUGUGGUGCUGCUGCUGGAGGCAGCGGUCAAAUACCCGCCCAUGGUGGCGGUGGCGUCGGGGGCGUGCCUGGGGCUGGCGGGUGAGCGGGAGGGGGGUCCGGGAGAACGUGUGUGUAUGACACGCGUGUCGGGGGGAGGGGGGGAGGGUGCGGUGGCGUUGGGGGCAUGCCUGGGGCUGGCGGGUGAGCGGGAGGAGGGGAUGCGUGAGCAUGACCAACCCUGUCUUGACCCUCCCACAUUCAUUUCCUCAUCCUCAUCCUCCUUCACCCCCCCCCCCCCCCAACUUCCUUACCUACCGUAAUCAUGAAUGACCCUCCCCCUAUUCAGUGCAUCCUGUACCGCGUUUCCAAACAUCCUUGCAACCCCCACCCUCUCUCCCUCUCUCCCUCCCUCCCCCCCCUCCCCCCCCUCCCCCCCCCGCAGUGGCCCGCGGCGCUGCGCUGUGGUGGGUGGUGUCCCGUCACACCACCAGCGGCGAGGAGGUGGCCCGCACCCUGGCGGCGCUGAGGGGUCAGGCGGCGGGCGCCGAGCUGCACCCACUGGACAGGCUGGCGUCAUGGCUGGCGCUGGGGGCGCUGCUGCAGGUGCGGUUUGUCACAAGGGUUUUAGGGAGUUUGGGGGAUUUUAGGUUUUGGGGUUUUGGGGGUUUUGAGGUUUUGGGGUUUUGGGGAGCCGCGCCCGGUGGACCGGCUGGCGUCGUGGCUGGCGCUGGGGGCGCUGCUGCAGGUGCGGUGUGUUGGUGCCGGUACUGGGUGUUUUAUAGCGGUUGUGAAGUUAGGUGUGGAGUUAGGUGUGAAGUUAGGGUUGUAGGGUUGGCUGCUGCUGCAGGUGUGUUGUGGUUGUCUACUCUUUGGGGCUUGGCCGGUGACGCGGGAACCGGUCUGUGAUGCGGUACCAUUGGCGCUUUGGCGCUGGCGCACAAGAACGUCCAUACCCUGCAUGCCCCCAACAUCAUCUCGUCUGAAUCAUGCACACUGAAUCAUGCACGAAAUCGAAUGACAUGUUAACCAUGCAGCACGCCCCGUCACACUGCCCGUCCUGGACCUGGUGCUGGCGCUUGCUGCCACACAGCCUUUGCGCACGCCUGCCUUAGAUAUCUAUUUCCAGGCAUAUCAUUACACAUAUCCUUUGCCACACACCUUUUUCCAUAUCCGCGCCCCACAGGCUGAGCCCUCCAUCCACCCGCACGGCCACGGCCAGGGCCACCGCAUGCCCUGGCAGAAGGAGCCACACGCCGAGGUGCGGGGGGCGGUGUGUGUGUGUGUGUGGGGGGGGGGAGGCGGGAGGCUGGGGGCGGGGAAGGGGGGCGGGAGGCGGGGAAGGGGGCUGAGGCGGGGAAGGGGGUGGGAGGGGGGGGGCGGGGAAGGGGGCUGAGGCGGGAGGGGGGGAGGCGUUCAUGAAUGAUUAAGAAGUGAACUUGUAGCCAGGCGGGAUGUGGGAUGGUGUGAAUGGCCACGGUUUGAGUUGUAUAGCGGGCUGCUGCAUGGACGAAGUUUGAUGCGGCAUGGGUGAGGGGCAGGAAACCAACCCCUCUCCCGCUACCUCUUGAGCUGUGUAAGGGACUUGGUUACAGACGGCUUCAACAUGCAUGCAAACAUGCGUUCUUGCUUUAAUGGCACGCACACACAUGUACACACACAGGAUCAGGACCAGGACCAGGGCCACGAGCACAAGCGCCCACCGGCUUCCGUCACAGCGCCGGACCCGGAUCAGGUGAGGUGAGGUCGAGGGCGGUGCGCGAGGCGGUGCGAUGUGGUCAAUGUCGCGGGGGUUCACCACGCCUUGUCUGCCCUGAUCAACUGGCCCCCACACACCCACCCACCCACCUGCCCCCACCUCGUUCUCCAACUCUCCCAACCACUGCACACCUCUCCACUUCCACACACGCCUGCCCCCCCCCCCCCCGCCACACACACGCUCCCCCGCAGUCGGACCUGCUGCUGCACGUGGCGCCCGCCGACUCCAGGCCCCACUACGAGUUCGACGUGGAGGAGGAGCGCGUGCUGAGGAGGUGUGGGGUUGGCAGCGGGAGGGGUUACAGUCAUGAUUCUUAAGAAGUCAAGUCGUAGGCAGGUACAAUAGCAUAGUAGCGGGGGGGGAGAUGGAAGGUGUGGGUAUGGGCGGGAGUGCGUGGGGGAGAUUGGCGAUGCCAUGGCAUGUGUGCGGGUUCAGCACGUGUGUGCUUUGGGCGCCGCGGGAUGAGACAAGGCCGGAGGGCGAUUCUUUCCCGGUCCUUUGCUUUCCUGGUCGUGGCAUGCGUUCCCUGGCGACCCCAAGCGCUGGGGGUCGCCCGGCCCCCACCGCUGUCCCUCUGCACCCUGUGCCUCUUGUCACGUACCCAAUCCGGCAACACCGUGGUUGUUUUCCUCCUUCCCUGCCCUACGCCUGCUGCCUGCCUCAAAGCACUUCGCUGUACCAUCUUUGCACCAACCCCCUCCACUUCCUUAGCUAAUCAUGAAUGUAACCCCCUCCUUCCCAACCCCAACCCCUCCCCCUCUCCCUCCCCUCUCCCUCCCUUCUCCCUCCCCUCUCCCUCCCCUCUCCCUCCCCCCCUCCCCCCCGCAGCCUUGUGGAGGCCAGCAACGCUGCGGGUCUGGCUAUCCUGCUGCAGGUGCUGUCGCUGCUGUCACUGGGUGAGUGAGUGGGUGGGUGGUUCACUAGCAAGCACUUCGCUAAUAGGUGGGAGUUGGGGGAGUGUGUGUGUGUGUGUAUGGGGGGGAGUGGGGAGCGGGUGGUGAGGAGUGGGGAGCGGGUGGGUGGGUCGGUGGAGGGAGGGUGGGUGGUACGUGGGAGUACUGAAUGGGUGUGCAGUGUGGGGUACGAUCCCGGGGGCAGAGGUUGGGCGUGGGGGAUGGAGCUGUCACUGAUGGCGCUGGGUGAGUGGGUGGUGCGUGGGUUUGGUGCGUUUGGUGACGUGCAUUGUUGUCGGGGCUAAAGGGGGGUCGGGUGCUCCUUAAGGUGGAGCUUGCAUACGCCACAGCGAUUACCAUGCGCCAACCCUCCAAACACGCGCCAUCCCCCCCUCCUCUUCCGGCCGGCUCUCUCGCAGCUCCUCUCACCCCAACCCCACCCCACCCCACGUUUGACUCGCCAUGCCUGGACCACGCCCACCUGCGUGCAACUCACGCCCUCCCUCCCCUCCCCUAGUCCCGUGUCGUAACGGCGCGCCUGCUGUGCCAAUGGCUACAACUUCGCUUCUUCUUGAUUAGUAAUGAAUGUAAUCCCUCCCCCACUUUCACAAACCCCCUCCCUAACCUCCCCACAGGCAUCGCCGAGGCAGCCACCGCCAACACGCCGGGCCUGGUGUCCAACUGCAUCAACGCCACACAAAAGGCCGCCAACGCGGCUGUGCUGUUCGCCUCCAGCGCGGCGUUCGACAAUGCGCUGCACAACACCGGUGCGUUGAGAAGAAGAAACAACGUCGGCAAGAUACAAGACACAAUUAGAACGACAGGAAUGGCAAGAUAGAUAAGUCGCCCCCUCACCCACCGCCAACCAUAUCCCCCGUCGGCAGUUCGAAGCAAAUGUUUCAUGCAAACCGCUCGCAUGAAUUCGCUUUCCGCACCCCCUUUCCGCACCCCCUUUCCCAACAUCAUCAUGCAUGACUGAAACGCUCCUCCCCACCAAACAAACACCAAUCCAAAUCCUCCCUCACACACACGCAGACGGCAACGACGACACCGACCACCUGCUAUCGGGGCUGGGCAAGGCCCACGCCGGAAUGACCGGGCUGUUCACCUCCAUGGCGGUGCUGUCCUGGGCGCUGCUCAUGGUGAGAAUCUGGCGAGCUCAAAGAAAUGCCCGAAAUAAGCAUCGAAAUAUAUUAGCAGAAGUAAACGCCAUAAAAAAGCAAGGGGUUAGCUAGGGGCUGGGCAAGGCCCACGUCGGAGUAAAGGGCCCUUUACAAGCAUGGCGGUUUUGUCAUGGGCGCUGCUCUUUUAUAGGGGUGGCGGAGAGCGGGGUAACGUAAUCUCGGCCCAUGCAAACCAGGGCGGGUUGGGGUAGUUCUUGGGGCGUGUGUGUUGUGCGGCAUUGUGCGGGGCUGUGAAAACGCGGGUUUGCUUGGGCGUGGGAAGGCGCCCUGGAUGGUGGUCGUGGUGGUUGGGGCUCGGUCCUCUUCGCCCGUGCCUUGUCACACCAACUUCAACAACCCACCCACCGCACCCUCACCUCACCUCAACCCCACCUUACCCCCACCCCACCCCACCCCUCUCCGCACCUCGCCCCCUAACAUCACUCCCACACCACUCACUCCCACACCACCGCUCCCACACACUCCCACAGGCCGGCGGCGUGGCGCUGUUGGUUCCCGCGCUGGAGGAGAGCCCGCUGGGCGUGCUGGUUGGCGACGGCGUGUUGCACAUGUCAGCCGACAUACUGGUGGAGGUGCUGGAGGCCAUCUGAGAGAGAUGAAAAUGAGAACGAGGAGGCGUUGCUGCUGUAUGUUUGAUGUGUGUUUUCUGCAAUCAAGCUCGAAGGCUUGUGUAAGCGUGUGUAUACGGUACCGAGGUGCUGAUGGUUGGCAAGAGAGGCAGGGGAGAGGUGGGGCUGGUGGGGUGGGAAACACGUGUGCGUGCUGCACGUGCGUGUCGGCAGAUGUCCUGGUCGAGGUCCUGGAGGCCAUCUGAGGCAGGAGCUCAGCAGAAGAAAACGCCAUCACGCCAUCACGCAUGGGGGCUUUUAGCUUGCCUUGGCGCCGUGCAGGUGUGCUGCCACACGGUGCCACACGGCGCCGCUGGGGGCGGUUUGAUGCCGUUUGCGGUGGAGUUGAAGGGCUACAGGCUACUUUGAGCUUGAAUGCAGGACAGCGGCAGCAGGGCCGUUGAGAGCAGGCAGGUGAGAGAGAGAAGAAAAAGAAAAGAAAUCAUAGGAUCGUAGGAAUGUAAUAAAUGCUUUUGGGAUCGGCAGGUCCGUCUUGAUGACUGUUAGGUAUCGUGGCGCCUGGCGUGGAAUUUGGAAGUAGGGACCUGUGACACAAGCUCGUGUGUGCAUGUUGCAUGAGUGGCAUGCUGCUGCGCCUCGACGGGUCGCGCGUGGCUCGACCUUUAAGCACAGAUGUCCGAGGUUCAAGAAGAGUGCCAGAGGCACGCUCUGUGUCCGUGAUAUUGCGUCAAGGUAUUUCCCGGCGGCAUGGUGAAGCGCUCCUUCGCCCGCCCCCACUCGCAUUCUGCGCCCUUGUUGGUCGGCCGAAUGUGUGUGGCGCUUUGUGGUGUUGGUUAGUAGGCAGGGCUGGAGCCUUUGAGCUUGUGACACUUUUGUUCGAUAGGCUGAGAGGCCUGUAUACAUAUGGGAGAGGGAGGGGAGAAACACUUGUUAGGUAGGUGUUGCUAGCACGGAGUGAUGGAUGGGGCCGCGGGUGCCGAGUGCUUUUGCGUGUGAGUGUUGGUUUGCGGUUGAGAGUCCAGGUGAAAGGGCCGCAUGUGGCUUCCUAAGAAUAUGAAUAGUAAGCAAGAACGAGGAGAGAUAGAAGGCUAGAGGUUUCGGGUGGAAACGCACCGGUGUGAUGUUGUUGACUCCCCGUGUAGAGAUUCCCCUAUGGACGUCAAGAGCGCGUUGGUGAGUGCGUGUUGCUUGGGACGCGGGGCCACAACGGGCGGGUUGACACAGCCGGCAGGAGGGCUUUGCAGGGCGGUGGCGGUGCUCCGCCUUUCGAAACUACAGUAUUUAUUGUGUGUAGGUAGGAUGGGCGGCACGCGUCUUAGCGUGCGUGCAUGCGGUGGGAAGAGCGUAGAUUGUCAGGAUGACUUGGGGCCGGCCUUUGGCCUGCUGGCGCCCGGGCAGAGGUAGGGCGAGCUGGCCUAGCUGAGAAGUGUGAAUUUGUGCGCGCCACCAGUAGACGGCGUGUUGAGCUGUGUGGGAGCCAGCAGGCGGCACGGCAUCACUGGCAUGAGAGAGUUUUGCAGUAAUGCGCUAUUGAGAUGUACGGAUUGGGUCGGAGGUUCUCCUGCCUGGAUUGGGUGGACGUGUGGGUGCACACGUGCAUGCGGUGGGCGCUGUACACAUAUAUGCGGCGGGUCGUGUGUCGGGCCAGCUGCCUGCUUGUAAAUUAAGAAACAACGCCAUGACCUAUUUGUGUAAUUGACUGAUUACCGAUUGCUAAUCGGUCUGGGCUGGGCCCUUGGCGGGGCCUCAGACCCGCCGCACAGGGCGCCACUACUACUGCCAGUGCUGCAGGCGUCCCUUGCUUGGUGGCGUCGAGCUUGAUGGAUUGUGCGCAGCCGUGUGGUGGAGGUAAUAAGUUGAUUGUGGGGCGCACCAGCAGCAGCCAGGUAGGAGUGCGUGGGAGAGACGUAAGCACCAACGGCAGUGCGGUGCUGCUGUGUGCGCGGGCCGGGCGGCGGUGGCAAGGGGGGAGGUGGGUGACGGCACGCAAAGGGGCCAGGGCAAGGCGUGAUGGUGAGGCACGAUGAGUCAGGGCAUGGUCGGCGUGAGGGGCGCCUGCAAACUUGCUGCAAAGCCUUGCAAGGGUUUACUGCUAUCACAUUAUUGCCAACACACAAUACACUAACGCGACGUCUGUGAUAAGCCUUUACAGCGAGCUUGAGCGAAAUGCACUCCGCGACGCAGCAGCAGCACGGCCGCGGCGGCGGCGAGCAGCAGCAGUCGCCGUCGGUGCUGCCCGCCGACAUGCCGCCGGUGCCGACCAGGUGGGUGCUUUAUCUUGGGUGCGUGAGCGUUGGCUUAAAUCGAUGAGUACAGAUAUAUAGGUGGAUGAGUAGCAGAUAGUGCUCCUGGCUUCGUGGUGGACAGGGUGGCUGUUGGUUUGGGCCCGCCCAGCACCGAUUGCCCCUUGGGUCCUCGGCGAGGUUUAUUUCUGUGUCGCCGGCUUUCAGCACGGUGUCGCUGUCAGGAUCAGCCGUGGCCUACUGAAGUUCGAGACCGCAGCCUUGCCCACCGCGGCGUCUAAAUCGGCCGUGGCCUCUGCCAGUUCGAGACCGGAGACUUGUCUACACCCGGCCCUGGCGCGCACGCGUGCCCAGCUGGUCACCAGCAGGCUACAUGGUCCUGGCGCGGUAGCCUGGGGGUUGUGACCAGCUGGUCACGCGUGCGCGCCAGGGCCGGGACUCGAACUGGAAGAGGCCGCGGCUGACGCCGCCGUGCGGAACUCACUGGGCACGCCCACACGGACACACCCACACAGGCAUGCCCCACCCAGCCCGGGCAUAGAUCCGCCUGAGCCUCCGCAGGACUAGCGCGGCAGAGCAUAGCGCUAACGCACAUCCCCUAAGCAUGCUGUCCUGCAGCAUUGCAUACUCGCUUCCACUCACUCAUCGCUUCUCCUUAAUGUCAACCUCUAUUACUAUCCCUUACCACACAGCAUGACAGCCAAGCGGCCCGACCUCUUUGGUGCGCCCGACCCGCACCAGCCCGCCGCCUCCGCGCCGCCCCGCCCCUCCGCGCCCCGCCCCUCCGCGCCCUGCCCCUCCGCACACGACGACCUCUCGCCAGCCGGCGACGCCGCCGCGGCGGCAGCGGAGGCGGCGGCGGCGGCGGCGCAGCAGCAGCAGGGCAGCGGCGGCGGCGGCGGCGGGAUGGUGGCGGGGUCCAGGCCGGGUGCUACUGCCGCUACUGCCGCUACUGCUACUGCGGCUCCUGCUACUGCCGCUACUGCCAAGGGCGCCCCGCCGGAGAACGGCCUCGACGCCAUCAUUGCCGACCACCAGGUCAUNNNNNNNNNNNNNNNNNNNNNNNNNNNNNNNNNNNNNNNNNNNNNNNNNNNNNNNNNNNNNNNNNNNNNNNNNNNNNNNNNNNNNNNNNNNNNNNNNNNNCAGCCCGGGAGGGGAGGGAGGGAGGGAGGGAGGGAGAGGAGAGGAGAGGCUGUCAGGGCACUGGGUGGUAGGCCCUGGCGCGGCACCGGCAGGGGUCGGGCACCAGAGGAGGGGUUUCGCACGUGUGCGAAGCGGCAGGCUGAGCAUGUGGCAUGCUACGCUGUGCAACACAGGCAUUACACGCGCUCGGCCGGCCAAAAGCGCCACCCGCGUCCGCAAAAGCUGCUUUUGUGGAUCCGCGUUCGCACCUUGACGCGCAACAGCUCCACAUGCUUGGCCAUUUUGCCCUCAAGGGAGGCCGCCUGGCGCCCGAAAAACGCGUCCUCGUCAUCCUCGGGUUGGGGGAGCGGGAGACUGGAUGGGAGGUGCAGUUAGGUUAGGGGGGAGGAGACACCCCCCCCAACGGGUAUUUAACAUGCAUGGAACCCCCCAACGGGUACAACAGGAGGGGGAGAGUCGUGGGCGGGUAGGGGGGGGGAGACACACGCCUUCAAAAGGUACAACAGGAGGGGGAGAUGGAUUAGCUGCGUUUCCACGCGUGGCCCUUCCCACCCCCCACCCCCCCCCCCCCCCACACACACACACAAAAAAAAGUAUUAUCGCUUGCAACGAUCGCCUCUGCCUGUGCUCCACUAGUUUGGCUUGGAUUCACUUAGUUUGGGCUGGUAUUUACAACCCCCAGCUCCCUCCCCCCGGCCGCACACACAAAAAGACACACGCCCCUUCCUCUUCCCCCCACCCCCCACCCACCCCCCCCCCACACACACGCGCCACACACACAAAUGCGCUCCCACAGGGUGACACGCAGCAGUGGGCGCUGCACGCGGCCACACUGCAGAAGUUCCAGUCGGUGGAGGAGGAGCACCUCAGCUGCGAGGAAGCAGAGGUGGUUAGGGGCGGGUGGUUAGGAGUCGGUGGUUGGGUGGUGGUUUGGGUGUGUGUGGUUGGGGUUUUGGGUUGGGGUGGGGUGGGUUGGGGUUGGGGGUGCGGCAAUGGUAACAGUUGGGGGGGCUUCAGGCUGGUUUUGGGUUCCGGACCAAUGAAGCUUGUGGCAACUUUGGCUGGCGAGGCCAUGGGGGUUAGGUGGGAGGGGUGGCUGGUGUGAUGUUGCCAUAGGCCCUCCCCUCAUCAAUGACUACAUCACCACGCAUCCACACACCACACAUCCAUACACCCACACACCCCGAGCGUGAUGAAUGCGCGUCAGCAAACUUCCAGCCAGCCAGCAACUUGUCGGUACAGUAACUCUGGCAUUUGACCAGCCGCGUACGCACUCCUGCCCUGUCGUUGCAAGUUGUUUGCCAUCUGCUGGGGUCUGGGCAUCAGCUGCAUCCCACAGGACUCCACCAACCUGCCUAAACACUGUCCCAUCGCACACCCACACACCCGCACAACCACACAACCCAUGCCCGCCCAUGCUCUCCCCCCCCACCACCACCACCACACAGGUGAUUGAGCCGCUGCGUGCCGUCAUGAGCCAAGGCGAGAUGGCGAAGCUGGGUGAGUGUGUGGAUGUGGGUGUGGGUGUGGGUGUGGGUGUGGGUGUGGGUGUGGGUGUGGGUGUGGGUGUGGGUGUGGGUGUGGGUGUGGGUGUGGGUGUGGGUGUGGGUGUGGGUGUGGGUGGCAGUGGGUGGGUGGGUGGGUGGGUGGGCAUGGGCGUGCGGAGGUGGGUGGAGUGAAUGGACGGCACCUCACUCCUCAACCCUCCCUCACCCACCCCCUUAUGCCCCACCCAGUAACCCCCCCUACUCCCACCCAGUGCUCGUAUCUUGUAGAUGCCCUAAGGCACCCGGCAUCUACACCUGCGUAGAUGACCCUGACCGCGGCAUCUACACUUGAGCCCUCAAGCCCCCCAAAACGUCUACGCUUCCCCCAUUUUUGCGCCAAAACCGGCCAAAAACGUCUACACCUGCGUAGAUGCGCGGCACCCAAACCCAAAAUUCGGCGGAUUUUGGGCACAUUUCUACAGUGUAGAUGGAAGAUACGAGCACUGCCGAGUCCCAAGCGGGUCCCACUCGCGCACGGCCCUGCGGGCCGGUCGUGUACCCAGCCCAAUACCUUUCCUAUAGCAUCUAAUACCACAUAUUAGGUCAUUAGAGUAACCCGGGGGCAUUGAAUCGAGCCGGGGCCGACCUCGAGCAUCCAAAUGUCGCGUUCGCCAGGACACGCCAUACCAGGCCAGACAGUAGCCUAACUACACCUAUGCAUACAUUUGUGUUGACGGCAAUCGGUAAAGCCCGAAAACAACGCCUAUGUAGGAUGUUGGCUUCGGUCAAUUUCGCGACUUGAGCCUCGACGAGCACGUUUUAGGCUGCUGUCAACCGCUAUUGCUCCAACAGAUUGCAUGUAACAUAUACAUUAAGUGGCGGAGUCUGUAUCCCGCUCUGCAUUUUUCUCGGGGCGACGUCUCCUGGCCUCCUCGGGUUUGGCUGGGGAAACGCACCCCCCGGACGGCACGCGGUGAAAACCCCCUGGCAGAUUGUCCUUCAAGCAUCAGACGUGGCGGCUUCCAUGAAGGACAAUCUGCCAAGGGGUUUUGGUGCCGUCGCGUGGGCGCCUCCCUGGGGACACGCUUUUUCCUGGAGUGGGACCCGCUUGACUGCUCCCACCCACCCCACCCCAAAACACCAAACCCAAACCCAAACCCCCAACCCCACCUACAGGCCGGCAGUGGUCCUCAGCCUGGGCCAACGCGCCCACACACCCGCACCCGCGCGGCCCCAGUGCCGCCCCUGGUGCAGCCCUGCUGCACCCACUGGUGGGGGUGGUGGACCGGCUGCGGGACGCAGUGGUGGAGCGGUGAGGAAGGAAGGACUGAGGACUGAGUGGUGAGUGAGGAAGGACUGCUGAGGACUGACUGGAGUGGUGAGGAAGGAUUGAUGAGGACUGACUUGAGCAAUGAGGAAGGGCUAAGGACUGAGGACGGAUGGGGAGCUUCUGCCUGGUGGUUGUGUUGGUGGCUGGUGGUUGUGUUGGGUAGUGGAUGGAUAUGCAUAGCGGAAAGAGGCUGAAAGCUAGCAGCAAUCAGCAGCCAACAGUAGUGGCCAGAAGCUGUUGCUGUUACUGCUGCAGCUUCCCAAGCUCCACACAUGCAACGAACAGCCUGAUACUUUCAAAUUAGCAGCUGGCAAUGGGGUAACGUGAGUCGAGCUUGCUGGAAGCAUGGAGGGCUUAGUGGAGGCACUCUGUUACACCCAUAGUUAACAAUCACUUCAAGGUAUUGCCAUUGCCACAUGUGUCCAUCUUCAAUUACAGUUCUUCAUGGUAUGCAUUGGGCAUGGGCAAUUUUUGCAGUUUGGGCUAGCCUGCAUCCACACACUGUGGCAAACAACAUAAGCUUGGUCCAGCUGCAGCUUCUAUUGUAUGUACAGCACAGCCAAAAUAAAUGCAUGCAAGCCAGUUCCUGUUCUUAAACCAAAUGAUAUCCAUUACCUUCCCCUAUCAACAGUCAUUGCAUGUGGUUGCACCACUCCACCAACCUCAGUCCGUUCAAGCCAGCACAAUGCCAUGCACCUCAUUGGGUGUCAUCACUGUUGCAGCAGGCCGUGUGAAAUCAGCCACUCCACUGUUGCAGUGUUGCCACUGUGGAAUACUCGCUGCUGCUGUCCUGCAUUCAGCAGGGCCUGUAGGCAGACAGGCGGGCCAGUGGAAACACCGUGUGAGGAAAGGUUGUGAGGGCAUCAGCAAGCAUGCAUCAUGGUUUGGCCAAGCCCAGCAACACACUGUGGCAAGUAUAUAGUGGCAAGUAUAGUGGCCAGCUGCCAGAUCCCCUGCCCUCCUGCAACACAAAGUGACCCCGGCAUGCAAAUGCAUGGCCCGCUGUCCCACCUCUACUCACCUGUAGUGCACGGCCACCACCAUCGGCCCCCAGCUCCGCUGCCGCCCACUCCAGCGCCUCAACGCUGCCCCCCAUGGCCACAGCCUCUAGGUCCACAGUAGCGCCUCGUGAACGCAGUGCUUGCAGCACCGCCAGGCUCACGCCUCGUUCUGCCGCAUUGCGGAACGCACACGACCAGUGCUUCUGUGACCUCUCCUCCUUCUCCUCCACUCGUGCCUCCUGGGCCCUCGGCCCCACGCCGCCGGCAUCCGCCUCCUCACCAUCCAUGGAGUCCACCACCACCUCCGAGAGGAAGAGGAGCGUGGCGUCAGAGGCGCCCAGUUGCGCCUCACGCUCCGCCUGCAGUGCGGUGAACUGGAAGCCGCGGCCGUGCAGGAAGCGCAUCACCAGCGGCUCACUGGUCCCAGCACCAAACACGCAGUCCUUCAGCAGCGCUGCUGCGGAAACCCCGUCCACCUGCCCGCACUCGUCCCACAUGUAUGCCAGCUCCUCGGGCCGCCCUGCGCUUGCCGCAUAACGAGACAGCACAGGUGUUGCCAUUGACACGCCGAUGCUGUGCAGGUACUGCAGCCGCGCCAAGCAGUCGGGCCGUUCAAACAGCACUCCCCAAAGCUCGUGCUCGUCGCCCACACUGGCUGCCACCGCAGCCGCCGCGUCCGGCCCCCAGGCCGAGCGAAGGAACUCCACCUUGGCAGCCCAGUCCGGCGUGGGGCUGGCGGCCGCCGCCAUCAGCAGCCGGUUCUGCUGCCGCUCGGGCCAGUCCGUGAUUCCCCCCACAUUUCCCGCGGCUGCACCCAGCCCCAGCCCCAGCCCCUCCUGCUGCUGCUGCUGCUGGUGGUGCCCUGCGUGCCCUGCUGCUGCCGGCCCUCCACUCCAGCGCCUCAGUGUGUCAUAGUGCCGCUGCAGCACCUCCAGCGGGCAGCCCAGCGUGAUGGCCACCAGCAGCCGGAACGCCUCAUGGCGGCGGCUGGCAUCCCCUGGUGGCGCCGGGCCCUGCUGGCCCGGCUGCCCCUCUUGACCCUGCUGGCCCUGUUGACCCUGUUGACCAUGUUGACCCUGUCCUGGCUGGGCCGGCGCCAGCUCGGCCUGCACCUGCGGCAGCAGCAGCUCCAUAACCUUCACCUGGCCGUACUCGGCAGCCAGCACCACGUGCCGAGCCUUGGGCCGGAAGCCGUGCGUGUCCUGCAUCCACUGCAGGACGUGCAGCUGCCCGCCAGCGCAGGCGCCGCGGACCGCGACAGCGUAGUAGGCAGCGCGGGCGCCCCGCUCCGCCUUCUUGAGCAGCAACUGCAGCACCUGCAGGUGGCCGCCCUGUCCCGCGGCCUCCACAGCCGAGGUGGCCUCCCGGAAACAGCCCUCGCUCAGCAGCCGCUCGCAGCCCUCCAGGUUGCCCGCUGCGGCGGCCGCCGUCAGCACCUCUGGGAUUAGCGAGCAGCCGCACUGCGCCAGGGCCGCGUCCAGGCUGGGCGCGUGGCCCGAGGACGCGGCCAGGCACAGCAGCCGCCGCCGCUGGGGAAGGCUAAGCGAGCGCCAGGGCUCGGGACGGUCCCAGUGCGCCACAAAGGCGUGCCCAGGCCAAGGCUGCUGAGCCCGAUGGGGCUCGCUGGGAUCUGCUCGCUUCUGACCCAGCUUGAUAACGCAAUAUUGGUCACGCAGCGCCGCUGCGGUGUCGCUGUCGACAAGGCGCAGACCUGUCGCUACUUCGUUUGGAUGCAAACAUGGAGCCUCAGCGACUCUCCGGACAAGGUCCGGCGUAAGGCGCUUCCAUUCGUUGUUUUGUUGGUCUUCUACGGAGCCCAUGUUGGCUGAAGACGAGACAGUGGCGGAAGUAGUUACGAGAUGCUUAGUUCUGUGUUGACCGGUAUGAUAAUAUGACGCGUUGAGCAAGCUAGAAGUGCAAAAUUGCCAUGGCAAAGGUAUCGGGACACAUUACGAGCCCGAAACCAUAGGGGCCCAUGCAGAACGUCUGUGUUUUAUCGGGAAUGUAUCACUCUCGGUAUUCUCUGUAACAACGUACACAUAUGAGUUUGCCAGUCACGUCGUCACACAUACGCACAGACUCAAGCGCCGAAACCGAUGCCAACCGCUGCGCGUACCCCAAGGUGGCAGGCGGUGGCACGGGCGGUGGGGGGGCCCUGCCUGUCAUAUGCCCCCUUGCACUCAAGCUCGCAAGGCGCAUGCCGUGCCAUACACCGUGCCAUAUGUUUUGGAACACGCGGUUAGCCAUGGUGUGAAAAUUAUUGAGGGGCGAAUUCGUGUAAGAACGAUUGCCCGAGCGUACGUGCGGAAACACCUACAGCUUCGCAGUAGUACCCCGGCCGGGGCUUGCCCCUCCCCCUCAGGCGCCCUUGCCUUGUCCUGAACCCCCGCAUUAAACACCAUGAAACCUGUGCUGCACAGGCGACCUGCCGGAGUCAUGUAAGCCCCGUGUGCGUUGUGCCUAGGGUGCGUGCCUGCGUGGGCGGGGAGCCCAGCGCCUCUACGUAGUAAAGAGUUAGGCUACUUGACACGCACUACCCGACGGCGUUGCAGGCGGCACGCCCCUGGGGUCCAGAGCAGGGUGUUCGUUCUCCACGUCACUGGGUCGUGAACUGCGUCAGCAGGUCUCUUGUAACCAAUGCAAUCUACCCGCCCUAUCUAUCUUGCGCGGGCGGGCUGCUGGCCACCGCGGGUAGAAGCGGACCGUACGGUCCACGCGUGGCAUGCUCUGUUUGCUCCACUCACGCGCUCGGCCACCAGGAUGACGGAGCGAGGAUGCGCGCAGUGCCGGAAGGCGUUGACCCCUCCACGCACGAGGCUCCGCAAGUCCGCAAUCCGCAUGCGUCAAUGGCGCACGCACGGCACACGUGCUUGCUACGGUGUCGCCCAGAGGGCGCUGGACGCCAGGGGACACCGCCGGUGGGAGUCGGGGGAGCCCUGGGCAUGACACGCCCCGUGCCGUGGACGGAGGGGAGUGAGUGAGUGUCCCCUCCCCCCCAGUGUCAUUCCUCAGGGCCUCAGGGAAAAUGCUGCGGACAUGGGGAGGGAGGGACGAGGGGCAACCCCUGCCUGGAAGGGAGGCAGCACCAAUCCAGGGCAUGGCGGCGCGGGCCAUGCGAGAGGACCGCCAUGGUGCAAAUAGACUGAAGGGGCGGUAGGACAGGAAAGCAGGGGCAUACGUAAUGUCGCAUUCAUUAAAGAACGCUGCCAAGCAAGUAAGGCACCUCAGCUUUGGGGAACACGCCGGGCGGAUUCAUGCAGCAGGUUCGCGUACACGACCGAAGUAAGAGGGAGGCUGCCGCCAAGGCCGCCAGCUGUCGGGUGACCCGGCAGGAGGCGGCUGUUCCAGGGUUUCGGUUGUCCCGGCUGCUUUUGUGGCGCACAAAAACAAGCGCGAAGCUCAAGCUGGCUGUGUUCCAGACUGAUUUAUUUGCUUGGGUUUUGCGGUGUCGAGGACGCAUCACAGCCUACGGUAGUUGUGGGCUGGUCCACGCCCCUCCCCUGUCCACGCCAGCCCCUGCCGCAACAGCCGUCUUCACCCGCUGCGUGUCCCAAGCUUUGGACCAUCGAUUGCCGCAAUGCUUGGCGCGCCGUUAUCGUGUCCAAGGUACAAGUAACUGCGGUCGCUGCUCACACUUUUGUUCUCCUUGCUGGCCUCAAUGACGUCAUGGUCUUGACUUCCACAUUGCGCGUUUAAGCUCAUCUGUGUCGACGGCUUAUGUCUUGCAGCACGGGCAUGGACUGCGGCGGUGAUUUGAGCACGUGUCGCCGACUCAGCAGCAAGCGCUGCCGCCCGCGCUUGCGGGGGCGAUGGUGGGGUCCGGCCCAACGCCGCCGGAGGGUGCGCGGCAUGUGUCCGUGAUGUGGGCGGGGUCGAGAGGGGCCAUGCAGCGGAAUUAGCUUGGAGUCCGGCCCGGCGUCGCCGAAGGGUGCGCAGUGUGUGUCCGUGGGGUGGGCGGGGGCGGUGGUGGACAGGUCGAAUGAGCGGAAUUAGCUUGGAGUCCAGCCCGGCGUCGCCGGAGGGUGCGCGGCGUGUGUCCGUGAGGUGGGCGGGGGCGGCGGUGGACAGGUCGAUUGAGCGGAAUUAGCUCAGUUGGGAGAGCGUUAGACUGAAGAUCUAAAGGUCGCUAGUUCGAUCCUGGCAUUUCGCACGCUAAUGUAGCGUCCCGUAACCAGCCCCGCGAGGGGAGUGAACUACCCGGACAUCCGGGAGAAUUUUGGCCCCGCGGGUGAUCUGGCGCGAGUUGCGGCAUUUGCACGUGCUGCAGCGGAUGCGACUGCUGCAGGUAUGCGAUGAUGGGCCAGUGGAAGAGGCAGAUAAUCUCACGGCGGUUUGGAACAUGACAGUAGGCGAAGGUGAUCAUAGGUUUGCGAGGGGAAAAGGCGGAGCAGAAACUUGGUUGCAAUACUCCACACUCGCAAACCUAGCAGUCGAGCACACUACAGUAUACGUGCUACGGUUGGUGUUGGGUCUGCUCUGUAGCAGUGUGCCGCCAUUUUCCACCCCCAAAUGCGUCAUGACUUGCAGGCCUCGGAAAGAAUAGCGACGUUGGCACCAAGUUGUGCAGCCAUGCACUCUGGCACCCAUCCCGAUUGCACACGUUCCGCCGUCUACCGGUGAUUCAUUUGACAGGGACCUCCAAUUCAUGAGUUUUGACCGCAAUGUUGCUUCAAUGCAGACUGUAACAAGCGCUUCCUUAGCGGCGGCGGCGAGCUUGAGCUUACGACGGCGGACGGCUUUGCCCGAACGUUACAUAUUUCUACUAGGAUGCACAUUGCAACAUUUAAUAUGCAGAUUGUCCAUGCAUGAACACAAAACGACUUUGGAUUGUUGUGGAUCCGACUGUGGCAGGUUGCCCGCAACGGACCUUCGCUUAAAUCAAAGGCUCAUAAUGAGAUCAAGCUACAGCUUCAUCAAUUUAGAUCUUAUCAUGGGAGAAUCACCGCAGAGUUACCGGUACUCUUGUCAACCAUAGGCAUAGGUGAAGGUCGCAACCGCUUCCUCUCGUCAGUGUACAAUGAUGUCUUUGUAACAACGACAGUUUGAUGGUUAUGAGCAAUCAUUCAUCGUCUACUGAGGCCCAAAACAAUCGAGGAAGGACGACGUCGGGAUGUGUGCACACAGGUGCACAUACCAUGUAGGGUUGGAUUGCUCCACGGCCCUUGCCAAGUAACCCAGUCCCGCGGCUUGAACAGCCACUCGCACCACACCCAAAACUCUCACAGUUACGCCCCAACAGCUACAGUCACUGCUGCAGCGAAGGCCAAACAGGUGCGGCCUCGGAAGUUGGCUAAGCCGCCUAGACCUGGCCGCCUGGCCGGGCGCCCGGCCGCCCGUGUUGAGAGUGCAGUAGUUGCCGACUGAGGCUGCAGUAAUCAGGGCUCCUAUCUUAAUGUCUCCAGACAUUAAUUCAGGGGGGGGUAAGGAUGCCGCAGACAUACCCCACCCUUCAAAUCGAAAGAGCUUGACGAGAGCGUUCAGGAUCUGCUUUCAGAAUUUUGAUCAGGGUAGUAAUUGCGGAGAUAUGGGCCCCCAAAGCUCAGGGUCGGUCGUCGGUCCCCGGGGUCCCCAAGGUUUCGUCACGGUGUGCCGGAAACUUUCGUCUGGGCCUCAUAAGACAGCAGGGCAAGCCCAGACCGUUGCCCAAAGCAUGUAAUGGAUGCUUUUAAUGGCUGGCAAACGUCAGGAGCCUACCAGUAGACGAAGGGCUACCGCCCGUCAACACAUGUCGGGUUGGGAUGUUGGGGUGCGACAUGUCUCGCCUGACCAGAACGUGCCACAAGUCGCGGACCGGUGCUUGCGCGCCGGAGGAAAACGCAUUUGUAUGCCCCAUGCGUAGGUAAGACUCGUAAGCGUGCUUUACACGGGUGCAACUGAACGGCCGAAAGAUGUUCACAACAUGUCGACAACAUGGCUGUGGUCAAGACGCGCCCGACGAACUUUCCGUGUUUACAUGUUAAUAGAGCUCGCUGAAAGCAGUCGUUUGGCAACAUCCUGGAAGAAAACAGAGGGGAUUUAGGGGGUGUACGGCAUGGUACGGCACGGUCGGUCGUCGGUCAGGGGGGUCGGGAGGUUUUGCGGGGUGGGGUCUGGAACUAUUGUUCGUAACCCCCCCCCUGAUUAAUUGGACAUUUUGGCCGUUUCCUAGACAUUACUCCCGGGGGCUAAUGUCUGGGGCGAGACUUUGUUGGCCCGGGUUUGGGGCGGGUUUUGUCCGAAUUCCUAUGGAGAAGCCCCCAAACCGCCAUGUGCCCAGACAAAAGACGGCGGCCACCCGGCCGUUUUUGUCUGGAGCUAGACAUUACCCCCAAAACAAGAUACGACCCCUGGCAGUAAUGCCCUGAGGCACACCAUCCCAUGCGGCUGACAUCUAAAACUACCACUUCGUCCUCAGAGGGCAGCAAGGUCGCAAAGGUUGCGGCGGCAGGUGGAAACAAGGUUGACAGGGUAGGCGCAGGCAAGCGUAGCCUUGUGGCUGCCACCCAGGAGGGUUUGACAUUUUGUAGCAAGGAGUUGACCGCGGCGAUAGCGUGGGCACGGUCCGUCAAUGUGCUGGCGACAGCAGGGGAGGGCUGGAACUGCUCCCGCACGAGCUGAGCCCCCUCCGCCAUGAGGAGGGAGGACGGCCCGGCGUCGCCGUAGGGUGCGCGGUGUGUGUCCGUGGGGUGGGCGGGGGCGGCGGUGGACAGGUCGAUUGAGCGGAAUUAGCUUGGAGUCCAGCCCGGCGUCGCCGGAGGGUGCGCGGCGUGUGUCCGUGAGGUGGGCGGGGGCGGCGGUGGACAGGUCGAUUGAGCGGAAUUAGCUCAGUUGGGAGAGCGUUAGACUGAAGAUCUAAAGGUCGCUAGUUCGAUCCUGGCAUUUCGCACGCUGAUGUAGCGCCCCGUAACCAGCCCCGCGAGGGGAGUGAACUACCCGGACAUCCGGGAGAAUUUUGGCCCAGCGGGUGAUCUGGCGUGUCCUGGCGUGCGCAAGCUGUGGCAUGGGCCAUAGGUCUGGGCACAAGGGCACAAGGAAUCGACGUUGGGUACAAGCGCAAAGGAACAAGAUCCAGCAUAUCAAAAAGGUGGCGAACUGACGCAUACAGACACGAACGGCGACCUGAUGGAUUUGCUGCACUGGACAUGGACAACGCGGUCGUGCCGACGACUUGCGCACUAAAGGUGCGUGCACGUUUUGCAACAUGUGCACCGCUUCGCGUCUUCAGUGCUCCAAAUCUGGUUUCCUUGCUGUGUGUCAUACUCUUCCGGCUGGCCAGUGCUGGGCACCCAAUUCGGGCACCACGCCGCCCAACAUCCCGACUUGCCGCCAAAACACGUCUUUGCUGCCCAGCGAUGUAUGCCUUGCGAAAGAGGUUGUGGCUAUUGUGCGUGCAUACCAGCAUCUGGUGCUUUGUAAAACUCGGAGAGCCAUACGACGUGCACGGCGCUCUGCUGUAGUUUCUGCAUGCGCAAAAUGUUAUGCCGCGACUCACACAAUUGAGUUGCAUACUGCCUGCAUUACAGAAUUCUAUGGCAAAUGUCUCCUCUAGCAGUGCAAAGCGGCCAAGAGCGUUAGUAUAGGUCGCGAUUGUUUUCUGAACUCUUACACCACCUUUCAAUAAGGAUGGGACUAUUAUCAUGUUUCAGUGCGCCCAAAUCCAGCGCAACCGCGCCCAGUGACCACUCAAGCAUUGGGUGCGCCUGGAGCUCCGGGGGCCCGCCGAGUGAUGUUGCUAGCAGCGCUGCAAAGACACGACAGGUAGGAAGCUCUAGCUGCAAUAUUUUGUAGCGCAACCUCAAGGGUGUGCCCUUCGUCUCUUCUUUUUUCCGCAGCGCCCUGACGAUGGCGCGGAUAGGUCGCGUCAUGAUAUUAUCAACACAGGGCUUCUUGCCGCGGUUCCAGUGCUGGCAAACCUGGGUGCCAGCCCGCAGCAGGGAUGGUUCUCGGCACUGGACGCCGCUGCCAGCUGCCUGGCGUCGUGUUUUGAAGCCGACCAAGUCAGGUAUGCAUGCGUGCUGCGUCGCCGACUUGGGGUCCACUGCAAUAGCGGACAGAUUCCACGCGAGGACACUUUCAGGUGGGGGCUGCAUAAAUACGUGGACACAUCGUGGCCUAUGACUGAGCUCAAAUUCUUAUGCUGUUGCGAUGUUGCAGCAUAUACAUUCUCGACGGCGAGGGCCAGGGCAGCAUUUUGGCGGGCGUUGGCGUCGAGCCGCGGCUCUGCUCCGGCGCCUGGCAGAAUGCCUGCGUCCCGCAGCUGUGCCUUGAGCAGCUGGAGCAGCUGCAGGUGGGGCUUCUAAGGGAUUUGCUUGGGGGAGAAAUUAGGUUGGAGUAUCAGCUUGACAGGAAGCCUCGCUGUCUUUAGGGGGGGGGGCUGUGACUGUGACCGUGCGGAUGUCAAUGGAGCUGGGCGUAGGGAACGCUACCGCGUGUCUGAAACGGCGGCGCGGCGUUGCAGCACUUCCACCCAGACGCAAUCCUUGAGUGAGGGGAACGUAACGCUAGCUAGGCCGUGACUGCUAUCGGCUGCCAGGUAUGGUUGCGUGUGUGUGUGUGGUGGGGGUGGGGGCGCAAAGAUCGUUGGGAAAGCGGUACAGGAUGCACUGAAGACUGGGGGGGAGGGGGGGGGACAGUGGAGUCCUCCAAGUCACCGUUUCCAGCAGGCAUGCAAGAGCAGACAAGGAAAGACCAGACUCUUUGUACAGACCGUACAGCUGUACAGCACAUGUGUCAAGGCCGCCAUGUGGCCUGUACGUGGCCGUGCGCUCACGUGCGACACCCCUGUCCACACCCCUGCCCACGUGUCCCCGCAAACCCGCACCCCCGCAACCCCCAACCCACAGAUGACUAAUGGCAGCGGCAGCGAGGAGGCGACGAUGGCGGCGGUGGCGGGGGUGGUCUACCGAGAGCUCGUCGCCCCCACCAGUGGUGGCAGCGGCGGCGGCGGCGGUGGCAGCGGCAGCGGCGGUGGCGGCGGUGGCGCCAUCCCUGGCCCCGCCGCCGGCUCGUCGUUCAAGCAGCGGCCGCCGCCACCGCAGCAGCUGGUGCAACCCCAGCAACAACAAGUCCAGCAACAAGUCCCGCAACAGCAAAAGCCCCAGAAGCAACAGCAGCAGGAGCAGCAGCAGCAGCUGCUAACGAGCGGGUCGUCAUCCAGCGCCAACACGCACGGCACCCUGGGCACCGGCGGUGGAGUCAAUGGCGCGCCGGACAGUGCCAGUGGCGGUGCCUGCGGCGGUGGCAGUGGCGGCGGCGGCGGCGGUGGCGGCGGCGGCGGCGGCGGCGGCGGCGGUAGUGGCGGCGGUGGCGGUCCCGAGCGCGUCGCGACGGCGGCGGCGCUGCCAUACGAAUGGCGGCGGUUGGCGGCGCAGCACGGCUGUCGGCAGUUUGUGGCGGCGCGGAUCGAGGCGCAUGGCGUGGCGGUUGGGGUGCUGGGCCUGGCCAGCCGGGGUGAGUGAGCGGCGGGGGGCGGCGGUUGGGUUGGUUGGGUAGUUGGUUGGUUGGGCAGUUAGUUGGUGGUUGGGCAGCUGGUUGGGUGGUUGGGUUGGGGGGCUGGAAGGCUGGGGGUUCGGGUGUCCCAGGGUUCAUCGGAGGAUUUACGGUGUGCCUUAAGCAGGGGCGAGGGCGCGGCAGUUGGAGGGGCAUGGGGAAUGCGAUCAGAGAUGGGAUCAUGGGAGGAAACCGUGGAGUGGCGACACACGGUUUGCAAUGCAAGGCGAGCGCGCGCUUGCAAGCCUUCGCGGCUGGCUCCAUUUGCAAUUUUGACCGCCACAUACACCACCGCUGCCGCCCUGCUCGCUGCAAAUCCGCGCAAGCCCUCCGCGGCUCCGCCCCCCGCCUUAAAGCCCCCCGCCCUCAAGCCCUGCACCCUCACGCCCUGCUGCGCCCUCAAGCGCCGGCCCUGGCCCUCCCCUCCCUCCCGUUGUCCCCCCCUUGCUUGGUUUGAUUUAGUUUGGGCUGGAAUUUACAACACCCCCCUCCCUUCACUGCUGUAUCAAUCAUGAAUGUAAUCCCCCCCCCACCCGCAGCCCACGCCCGCCCCCCCUCCUGGACCACCGACGCUCUCCGCUGCGUGUCCGCCUUCCUCACCUGCCACCUCGCCACCGCCGCCGCCGCCCUGGUCGGACCCGCGCCCUUCGCCCCACCGCCCCCCUCCCUGCUGCUGACCCCCAGCGCCGCCGCUUGCGGCGGCGGCGGCGGCGGCGGCGGCGGCGGUGCCGGCGGCGGAGCCGCCGCCGCCGGGCCGCUGGCGGCGCUGCGUCGCGCGACGGCGUUGAGUGAGAUAGUGGCGGCGCUGGGCGCGGCGGCGGCGGUGGCGACGGAGAGCGUGGCGCACGUGCGUGCCGCCAGCAUCCGCGUGGCAUUCGUACACGCGGUGGGUGUGGAUGGGCGCGUGUGUGUUUGGGAGUGUGUUUUGAAGGGGUUGUGUUGUUGUAUGUGACAGUAUGUUUGUCCUUGUAGGCGCAUGUUCUGACUGCGUGGCCAGGGAGUACGGGAGGGCUCUCUCCGGUUGUCGUACUGAGGUGGUUGGUGGGUUGGCUUGAUGGGUGAGAGCCCACGUCGCCGCCCCAUUCCAUGGCCUUACUUUCCCGCCCGGCUGCGGCUUCGAUCAGUAAUUGAUCAUGCUUUGAAACCCUGUUCGUCACGCCCCUGCAAACAUGUCUCACGCCCCUUCAUGACUUCAUGACUUGUAAUGCCAUUUCUCACGCCCCUACAAACACACACAGGCAUUCCAGAGCGCAGCCAUCUUCCCGGUAGAUCGUCACACAGACCCCCUCAGCGACGGCGGCUUGGGAGGCAUCGCCACCAGCGGCGGCGGCGCCGUCGGCUCCAGUAUCGGCAGCACCGCCGCCGCCGCCGCCACCAGCCUCUUCGGCCGCAUCUCCUCCCACGCCUCCAUCAUCGCGCCAUCGCCGCCGCUGCCGCCGCCGCCGGAUCCGCUGCGGGUGCGGCCGCGGCCCAGCUGCGAUGUGCUGAUGCCGCCGCCGCCGCCGCCACGCGUGGCGGCGCCGCCGCAGACAGCGGGCGCCGCCGCCGCUCCCGCACCGCCGCUGUGUGGCGGGGCGGGCGGCGGUGUGGGAGCGGUGGUGGCGAACGUGGCUCUUCGCAGCAGCACCCCCGCGGGGGCUCUUGGGCUGCUGGGGCUGCCGUCAGAGGCCAGCCCAGGUGCGUGUGUGUCAUGGUAUGUCCUGACGAGCGUGUGUGUGUGGGUGCGAGAUUCGGACGCGGCGGUAUGAAGGAGCGGGCGCAGAUGUGCGGGUGCAGGCGUGCGGGCAUUGCAUGUCAAAACUGAGCUUUUGUGAAAAGCGCUCCUUCCCCCAAAACACACGCACGCCCCCACAGUAACCAACAGCCUCGCUCCCACACCUCCCACGUGCCCUCUCCUCCUCUCUAUCCCCCCCUCGUUGGUUUUGGUUUAGUUUGGGAUGGUUUUUACAACCCCCCAACACACACACGCAAAAACCCCAACAACAGGCGAGGCGGGAGCCGGCGGCAAUGCAGGCGGCGGUGCGGCCGGCGGACUGGUAGGCGGCGCUCACGGCGCCGCCUGGAUACAUGCCCUGCUGCCCAUGGCCCGUGGGUCCAGCUUCGCCAACGGCUACGCCGCCGCCGCCGCCACCACCAACGCCACCAAUGCCACAAGCGGCGGUGGCGGCGGCGGCGGCGCGUUUGGGUCAUUGGUGAUGGAGGGCGGCGCCUCGCUGUGGCGUGGAGGCAAGGGCACGGAUGUGAGUGUGUGUGUGAGCUGAUGAGUCCGGAUUGUGCAUCCGCCCUCGUCUCAUGGCGGUUUGGGUUCGGCGGACUCUUUCUCGCUCCCUUCACCCUUGACCCUCCUUGCCCCCUUGGCCUCCGUUUUCUCUUUGGCCUUCCUUGCCCCUUGCCGCUUUUCUUCUCUUCCCUCCUUACUCAUAAGUCUCACCGCCACCACCACCAUCCCUCGGCACUUCCAUAGAUGUUUCAUUCAAACCGUUCGCAUGAAUGGCUACCCCCCUCCUCUCCCACCCUGCUGUCCCCUGAUUCCCCUGCUUGCAUCCUGCUCCCGAUGUUUGUAAAGCUUGCCACCCAUCUCCUCUCCUUAAAAUAAUCAUACAUGUAAACCCUCCCUCCAUCCCUCCAUCCCUCCCUCCUUCCAUCCCUUCUGCCCUUCCUGCGCCCCCCCUCCCACUCCUCCUCCUCAGCCCCCCCGCAAGCUACUGCACGGACACACACUGCCGCUGCCCGGCACACUGCUGGCCCAGGCCCUAGCGCAGGGGGCGGCGGGGCUGUGCGUGGAUGACUGCGCGGCACACAUCCAGGCGCGUGUGUGUGUGUGUCUUUGUGGACUGGGGAAAUUUGGAUCCAGAUCCAGUUUUGUACCUUAAAAAGUGUUUGGAUCCGGGUUGGCUGAGAGGGCGUGAAUCCAGUUUUGUGUAAAGGGGCUUGUAUCCAGGUUGGCUGGAAGGGGCGUGGGAGGGGGGCUGUCUGCGUGAACGACCGCGCGGCGAACACCCAGGUGUGUGUGGAUGGGUGGGUGAGGUGGGAUUGUAGAUACCCGCCCAAACUUAACCGUGCCCAAUGCAGGAGGAGAGCGUGGGGGUUAUGGGGGGGACUUAAGAUUCAGGCUUGUUGAGAGGGGCAUCCCUUGCCCAUUAUGCGCUUUCCUGUCACACAAGCCCACGAAACACACCCACACACCCACACACGAAACACACACGCCACACAGGACACCAAGUCCUACCCCAAAGACCUGGUCCUCUCCCGGCACGCCUCCCUGCCCCUCUCCCUCGCCCUCGCCGCGGCCUCCCCCGCGGCCUCCUCCUCCGCCGCCGCCACCGCCGCCUCCCGUGCGUCCACCGCCGCCUCCAACAACGCCGCCAGCGGUGGCAUCCGCCUCUUCGGCUCCCAGGGAAGCAGUGACCCGAGGGUCACGCCCAACGCGGCCGGGGGCCGCAUUAACAGCACUGCUGCCGGCGACGGCGCCGCCGGCGCCGCCGGCGCCGGGACCGCCGCUGAAGAUUUGGGCUGUACAGGAAGCAGCGGCGGCGGCGGCGGUGCUGGCGGCGGCGGCGGCGGCGGCGGGGCCAAUGGUCCGCUGCUUGCGCUGUACGCAACGUUUGGUCAGUCCACGCCGCGGCCGCUGCUGCAGGCGGUGGUGCGGAGCCUGAGGGAGCUGGCCAUGGUGGGUCUGGUCUGGUGUUGUUGCCUGGUGCCACUGUUGCUACAGCUCUGCUUCUUGAUUCAAUCAUGAAGGUAACCUGACCCCCACUCUCUGCUCCUCAGGCUCUGGCGCCGGUGGUGUGGGCCCGUAUCUCCUCUGAGCCCUCGCUGCGGGACGAGUGGGCGGUGCUGGCGGCGCACCUGAAGAAGGUGGGGAAACGUGUGUGUUUGGGGGCGGGGGGAAAGGUGUAAAUACCAGUCCAAACGAAAGCAACCCAACCCAAACGAGCGGAGCACAGGCAGAGGCGUUGUAAGGGGGUUACAUUCAUGACUAGUUGAGGGAGUGAUAGACGGUAGACCAUCUCGCUGUAGAGGGGGUUGUAAAACCAAAACCAAAACCAACGAAAACGAGGGGGGGACAGGCACCUCAAAAGGGUGUGGGCAGGUGGUUAUUACAGGGGUGGGCACAACCGAAGAAGGCGGGGGGAAUAUGUGCUUGUGCGUGUGUGUGUGAAGGGGUGGCAUGGGGUGACGGGGGUGGGGGCCAUGGGAUGGGGGCUGCGCGUGUGUGUAUGCUAAGUGAGCAUGUGGGCGUGUAUGUGUAUGUGUAUGUGCACAUCCCGUUCCCGCGCCCGCAGCCGUGCACACAGCAGUCCACACACACACACACACACACACACACACACACACACACACACACACACACACACACACACACACACACACACACACACACACACACACACACACACACACACACACACACACACACACACACACACACACACACACACACACACACACACACACACACACACACACACACACACACACACACACACACACACACACACACACACACACACACACGAAACACCACGUGCACUGCCCCACCACCCACCGCCUGCCCGGAAACCCUCCAAACCCAACCCGCCCAACCUCACCGGCCUAAGCACACAACCUACACAACCAUCAUUAGCCAACCAAUCAACCAACGGCCGGUCUAACCUGGCCUAACUCGCCCUCACACUCUCAGGUGCCGCUACGCAAGCGCGGCCACCACACACGCCGCGGCGGCGGCGUCUCUUCAGGCUCAGAAGGCGCGGAGGAGGGAGAAGAGAUGGAGGAGGAAGAGGACUUUGGCCUGCACCCGAAACAAGAUCAGCCGCAGCAGAAGCAACAGCAACAGCCGCAGGCUCCUCUGCAGCUGGCCGCCCCGGUAACGUUAACGGCGGCGGCGGCGGCAGCGAGUGCGAAUGACAACGCCGCCGCCGCCGCCGCCGCCGCCGCCGGUGGAGGCUGCGGUGGCGGCUACGGCGCCAGCGGCGCGUGUGGCAUGAUUGGUGAGGUAUUUGGAAAGGAGGCCGUAGACGCUUUGCUGGACGCAAUGGGGGGCAUUGGCGCCGCCGCCAGUGGCAUAGGCGGCGCCGCCGCCACCGCCACCGCCGCCGCCAACAAGAAUGGAAGCAGCAUUGGCGGCGGCGGCGGCGGCGGUGGCGGCGGCGGCCAAACGUUCUUAGCGCCGCCGCCGCCGGCGGCGGCGGUGCCGCCGCAGCUUCAGUCGCCCCCGUUCUCCGUCCACCAGUCGCCCAGCCUUGGCGCCGCCGUCGGCGCGGGCGGCGGCGGCGGCAUGGCGGCGGCAGUGGCGGCUCUGUUGGGAGGGGCAACGCCACGGGGGGGCAGCAGUGGCGGCGGCGGCGGCGCCGCCGCCGCUGGUGAUGGAAAGCUAGUGACGCCCGCCGCCGCCGCCGCCGCCGCUGCGGCGGGGCUGAAGGCAGCAAAGAAACCGCCGUCAGCGCGCAAGUCGUUCCGCGCCCUCCUAGGCUGGGUGGCCGGCGGCGGCGGCGGCAACGGCGGCGGCGGCGGCGGCGGCUCUUCCGCCGCCAACCAUCCUUUAGAAACCGCCGCCGCCGCCGCCGCCGGCAGUGAGGCUGCUGCCGGCGGGCUGAUGAGGCUCGCGCCGACGGUAACGGCUACAACGGCACCCGAUCAGCAGGCGAAGGCAAGACCAGCCGGCACUGCAGAUGCCAGCGUUGGCGCCGCCGCCGCCGCCGCCGGUGAGAUCUUGGACACCAGCAACAGCCUAAUGGCUGGCGGCGCCGCCGCCGCCGUUGCUCGGAACGUCUGGACCGGACCCGCGGGUGUGCCGGCGCCGGCGUCCGCUGCCAGCGGCGCCGGCGGCGCCGCCGCCGCCAGCGCCGGCGCUGCCUUGUUUGCCGCAGAGCUUGGCGGCUGCAACGGUCUCACCGCCACCGCCGCUGCUCCCGCCGUCACCGCUGGCGGCGCUGGCGGCGGCGUCAACGGAUCCAGGCUGCUGACGCCGCCGGGUAUGCCGCCGGGGCCUGCCGGUUUGGCAGCCUCAGCAGCAGCUACGGAGGCGGCGGUGGUGGCGGCGGGUGGCGGCGGCGGCGGUGGCGGCGGUUUGGCGAUGGCCCGUGGGACGGAGGCGGUUGGCGACAGGCACCGCGAGAGGAUGAAGCACAUGCGACGCAAGAGCGUGUCGUUCCGGCUGGAGGCAGCCAUGAGUCCGCGAGGUGGGGUUCUGGGAGUGGGUGGAUGGGGUUGGGUUUUGGGCACUUGUUUGUGGGGGGCUUGGGAAACUCGCACGGCGUGUUUGCUAGUGUGGCGUGGCGUGACCUGUCGUGUUGUGUCCUUCUGGCUUGAGGCAGCCCGCGAGGUGGGGUUUGGGGACGUUGGGGGUGGGGGUUUGGGACGCGUUUGGCGUCGUGUCGUGUCGUGUCGUGUGGUGUUUGGCGUGUUCGGUUCGAGUAACGGCGCGGAGGGAGCCUUCCGCUCUGGUCUACGUACGCAUUAGUUCAGCAACGCAUGUCGAUAUAAGGCAGAAGCGGCAAUGCGGGGGGGGGGGGGCGGCUCAACCGGCGAAAGCGGCAAUGCUGCUCCGGCGAUACAUGCGCACAGGCUUUGGCUCUGCGACCCUUGCUUGUGAAUGGAGCACCCUUGUCUUGUUAUCUUGGUGAACGGUACUGUAUCCUGGUUGCUGCAACCUUUGUUUGUCGAGAAGCUUGUCUUGUUAGUGAUUUAUAUGUGCUUGUGUUGCUGUUACGUUGGCCCACGUCACAGGUGCCUCCAAGAUUGCGCCCAUCAUCUCGAUCAUGCAUGAGCGGCUUAAAGCGGCACAGGUGAUGAGGAGCGUGUCUGGGCUGGGCGGCGCGCGAGGGAGGGCUUGCCCGUGUGAACCACACACUCUUCGUUCAGUUGUUCUUGACAUGAAGUCUCCCCCUUCUCCCACUUCUCCGUACCAAUCUUUGCAAACCCAACACACAAAACACACACACACACACACACACACACACACACACACACACACACACACACACACACACACACACACACACACACACACACACACACACACACACACACACACACACACACACACACACACACACACACACACACACACACACACACACACACGCACACACACACACACACACACACACACACACACACACACACACACACACACACACACACACACACACACACACACACACACACACACACACACACACACACACACACACACACACACACACACACACACACACACACACACACACACGCAC
Molecule: long non-coding RNA, 77877 nt
Filed under: Chlamydomonas reinhardtii
Lineage: Eukaryota; Viridiplantae; Chlorophyta; Chlorophyceae; Chlamydomonadales; Chlamydomonadaceae
Description: long non-coding RNA (CREI_LNC001183)
Rfam family: tRNA (bases 65249-65321)
Source: RNAcentral